RNAcentral lists this long non-coding RNA (44881 nucleotides) under Solanum tuberosum (potato). Its description in RNAcentral is "long non-coding RNA (STUB_LNC008036)". Lineage: Eukaryota; Viridiplantae; Streptophyta; Magnoliopsida; Solanales; Solanaceae. The record is from RNAcentral.
UCGUCUUUGACAUCAUCACCUUUUUCUUCUUCUUCUACUACUUCUACACUUUAGAAUGUACAUUUAAUUUGCCUAGUAGUGUGAAUCUGUAUUACAGUACUGCCAAUUUGCAAAUAUGAGCAUACUGAUUCGAGACACUGUACACUCUGAUGCUGUUAGAGAUGCUAUAUCAAAGAUAUUAGCCUGUGUCAUAAAGGUGCUUCAAGAAUGUUAUGUAUCAUUAACAUGAAACCAAUAUGAACACUAAACACCAAAAUUGAAAACAUUAAUAAAAAUUAGCAUUUUCUCGGUAAAAUGGACUUGUUAGUAUUGAAUUAUUUUGGGUGUUGUGAUGUUCAGUGAAUCUGCAUUUUUGGUGUAACGUUAAGACUUGUUACAUUAUUUGGUUGAAUGUUGUGCAUCGAUGAUAGAAAAUAUGCGUUCACUAUUAGUCAUGGACCAGGUCUUUUGAAAGAAUAAUAGUGCGGAAAAUAAAUAACUCAAAGUAAAAUAACACAAGAGUUCACGUGAAAACCCCUCUGCUCAAGGACAAACAAAACUACGACCUGUCUCAUAUGAUUUCAACUCAACUCCAUUAUCAUCAAAGGAGCAAAGAUUCAGAUCAUUCAUCAUCACCCAUUUAACAUAUUCACAACUCAAAACACAAAUUUAUCAAGUAUGUUGGAGUUUUUAGGCUGAACUUCAACUCUAUAAACAUAAAUAAAAGCAAGAAGAAGAGAAGAAAUAUCUUCUGGGGAAAGAUUAUUUUUCAUAGAACUGAAAUGUUGUUUAAAUACAGAAAAAUGCAAUAACUAAAGCAUAUAUCUAAGCAACUACUUUGCACAUGAUUCCAUGAUAAACAAAAUCUUAAAAAUAACAAUUUAAUUCCUAAAAAACAACAACUAACUUAAAUUGAAUUGCUGCUGAAGAUGGCUACAAAGCUGGAGCAAAUCCAGCAACUUCUAUUGACUAGUUACUGCCGUAACUGAGGCAAUUAAUCAACAAAGUAUAAGAUAGUUCAUUCACACUUCGUGAUUAUUAGUGAAAUCAUUUUAUAUGAGUCACGUAUAUAUUCCUCUUUUAAGAUUACUAGACCUUAACUAGCAUGUAAAAUCAUGAAACACUGAACAACAAUCAUUAAUAAAUAUAAUUUAUCAGUAUAAUUAAAUCAUCACACGCUUGUCAAAAUGCUACAAGUCAAUUCAACAUAAUUGUCAAAAUGUAACAAGCCAAAUGAAAAUCAUAUCUACCUUGGCCUUGCAAUUGCAUAAUCAUUGCACAUGCCAGGAAUCACUAACACACCUCUUAGAAUCAUAAGUCUCACUAUCAUGUAUAUACAAAUGCUAAAGGGUCUUAAUCUUGUCCAUCUAGUCAUGACCUAUAGGGGGACCCUAGGUGUACAUUUAUCAUACCAACAUGGUAUCCGAGCCUGCAUAAAUGACUCUUACAAAGCUCACAUCAAACUUGAGUCGCUCAUCAUCCAUAGAGUGGUUAUAUACUCACUUUAUCUGCAUAUUUCAAUAUGCUAAUCUCUCUAAUUACCACUCAGGGCAACACAUCAAGCAUAACAUAGACACAAGAUCAUCAUUCAUAACAUCAACAAAUAAUCAAUUCAACGAUUUGCAUGCUUAAACUUACAAGCAACACUUAAUUCCAUCAUAAUCAACAACAACUAUGCCCAAUACCAAUCAACAUGCAAUAGAACUCACAUUACAUAUAAGCAAUUAAGCAAUGUCGUCCAACUUUAACUAAACCAUAUUCUGGCUCACCCGACGAAUUGGAAGCGAACAAGCUAAAUUAUCAGUCUUCCCUUUUCUCAAUGCCUUAUUAGAAUGCUCAAAGUCUAAUACAAAUAAAGUAUAAGGUCAUUUUAACCCCCCUAUUUACUCAAACAAAGUUCUUGGAUAUUUAAACCCACCUAAUUCUACUUUUUUAGAAGGUCUAACGAAUAAUUAACGAAUUAUUCUAUCAAAUCGGAGGCUUUCAUGAUCAACUCAAUCUGAUUCAUGAAGUUUUAAUUCUAUUAACCUCUCUUGACCGUUCAUAUAUUUAAGAACCCAUUUUUGUGGGGUUUCUAGGUUCCCAAAUAUUAAAAUUAAAGUCUAAAUUUACAAUUUCAUGCUAGAAUACCAAAUUCAACAUAAAUAAAAGGAUUAAUCGACUUAAUCGAAGUAACAAAAAUCAUAUCGAAUCAACUUGCCUUUCGAUUUUGGUCUUGCGACUAGUUAUAAAUAUAUAGUUGCACAAAGAGUGGCACCCACAACUUGUGAAUGUAUCAAUGUACAAUGUCUCAUGUCACCCCAAAGGGACCCUAUUUAAUUUCUUGUGAAGUCCAGGUAAAAGAUGUCAAAAUUUGUGGUGGGUCAGCUUUAGAAUUAAGAUACUAUCAGAUACUAACAAAGAUUGUGGUAUAGUGAUAAAUAUUUCUUCAUUUUUAAUCAGAGGUCUCAGACUUUACAUGAUUCAAAAUUUAAUAUGAUUAUCGAACACCAAAUAAAAAAAUCAAAGAAAAAAGAAGAAGAAGAAGAAGAGAGUAUCAGACAUGCUAUGUAUCAUGGUCUAUGAAGUGUGAAAGUCACUCAUCCAACAGCAAAAAUAGGCCAAAUACAUGUACAGCUCCUUUAACUUGCCUUUUAAGUUUCAUUUUGGUAAAUUCAACUCAAUUUUAUUUCAUUCUAAUUCUCCAACUUCAUUUUUUCAUGUAUUAUUUAAACACAAUUUCUUUUUAUCUAUUAUAAGUUUUUAUGUUAGACAAACAUUAAAAGAAUAAAAAGACAUAUAAUUAAAUAACGUGACGUAUUUUAUUUUCUCUAAGGGUGUGUUUGGUAUGAAGGAAAAUGUUUUCCAUGGAAAAUGUUUUCUUGGAAAACAAGUUGAUUUUUGACUUAUUUUCUCAUGUUUGGUUUGUAAGUAGAAAAUAUUUUCCAAAAAAGAUUUUUAGUGUUUGAUUUAUGAAUGAAAAAUGUUUUUGAAAAAUUUCUUUUAUUUUUACUAGAGUAGAAAAUAAUUGUUGAAAUUGAAAAUAUUUUUUAAAAACAAACUUAAUUUUUUUUGGGGGGUGGGGGUGGGGUGGGGUAUGAAAUUAAAAGGUUGAAAUUGGAAAUAUCUUUUAAAACAAUUUUUAAAUUUUUUUUUUGGAGGGUAGGGGUGAGGGUGGGGUAAAAAAAUAAAAAAAUUGAAGUUAAAAAUAUUUUUUAAAAACAAGCUUUAAUUUAUUUUUAUUUUUAUGUUUUUGNNNNNNNNNNNNNNNNNNNNNNNNNNNNNNNNNNNNNNNNNNNNNNNNNNNNNNNNNNNNNNNNNNNNNNNNNNNNNNNNNNNNNNNNNNNNNNNNNNNNNNNNNNNNGGGUGGGGGGUUCGAGGGUAGGGGUGUAAAGAAAUAAAAAAUUGAAAUUAGAAAUAUCUUUUAAAAACAACUUUUCAUAUAUUUUUGGGAGGGGUUGUGGUAGGGGGUGGAGGUAGGGAUGAGGGUGGGGUAAAAAUAUUGAAUUUAAAAACAAACUUUGAAUUUUUUUAUUUUUUUAUUUUUUUUGGGGUGGUGGUUGGGGGAUGGUUUGAGGGUAGGGACCAAAUAAAUUGAUUUUUUCAACAAUUUUUUUUUUAAUUGGAAAUUGGAAGAGAGUUUUGGAAAAUAUUUUCCUUAAGUUUUAAAGGGAAGUCAUUUUCCUUAAAUAUGAGGAAAAUGAGUUGAUUUGGAAAACAUUUUCCGAAACAUUUAACUCAACCAAACAUGAGAAAAUUGGAAAACAUUUUCUGAAAAAUGUUUUCCUUCAUACCAAACACACCCUAAGUCAUCCGGAUUUACUUGAGAUUUACAUUAAUUGUAUUCAUUUAUCAUCUUUACGCAAUAUAAGAAUAUAUAUUAAAUAACUAUAUUCAAUUAAUUACAAAUUUAUUGUUGAGAUCGAUUAGUGACACAAGUUAAUAUAAACAUCGAGUUUAUGUUACUAUGAAUACAUCCAUCUUUUUCAAUUUUUGUUGCAUCAAUAAAAUAUAUUUCAUCAUUCCAGUAAUUAUAAUUUUAAAUAUUGAUAUGGUGUCAUUUUUUUCAAUCUAGCUCUUUAUGGAUUAUUCUAACAUUCUAUUUAGUCCUUUAUAACAUAGAAUAUAACUGAUACUUUAAAUUUUAUAUAAAAUAAAUAAAUUAUGUAAUUUUAAAAAAUAAAUAUUAUCUUUAGCAUAGACAGAGAUGAAUAAAAAAGGAGGUAGAUGAAGAAAAUAAAUAAAUAAGCAGUAUAGAUGAAGGAAAAAAUGGGAUUCAAGAGAAGAUAAAGAAAAUAAAUAAGGGAGAAGGUUGUUAAUAAUAACAAUACCGAAUAUCUAUCUAUAUAUAAAAGGAGAAGAAAAAAUGACACAUGUCAACACCAAAAAUUUUCAGUAUUUUAAAUAAUUAAUAAUCAAUAAUUAAAUAAAUAAAUAUAGACACAUGUCAAUAAUUAGAAUUAGAAUGACACAUGUCAACACCACAAAAAUAAAAUAAAAAUAAAUAAAUAAAUUUUAAACAAACUAUUUAAAAUACAAAAAAAAAAAAAUAACCAACGGACAAAAAGAGUAAAAAAAUGUUAAAAUAGGUUAUAGUAAUAGAAAAAUGUAACAAAGAAAAAAUAAAAUAAAAAACGUAAGCAUCAAUCAUUUUAAAUAAAUAAAUAGCAAAACUACCCGCACAAUAAAAAAAAUCUGUUAAAUGAAGAUAUGCUUUAGUUUUUUAAAAAAAAAAAAAAAUUAAAUGUGUUUUUUUCAAAAUAAGUAACCAACUCACGUAACUAUUUUUAAAAAAAUGGCAAAGUAGUUACUUUUUGAAUUUGAAUUUAAAGUGAUUACCUAAAACUACUCUACCCAUUAUCUCUAUUCCCUAUAUAUACAUAAAUAAAGUUCAUUAAAAAAAUUAAUUGAUCUUAUUCUUCUUCAAAUGUAUAGUAUUAUUUGUUGAAUUCUCUCCAUUCUUCUUAUCUUCAUCUUUUUAUGGAGCGAAUAGGUAGAUUAUUUGUCGGCUAGCCGGAAAAAAAAGGUUUGAAUAUACUUGCAAAUAACAAAGUGAAAGUCCAAGAAGAAGAAGAACAAUAUUUAUCAAAAUGGAAAUCUUCUGCAAAUGAUGAUAAUGUUAGAUCUAUAAUGUAUUUUGUGAAAAAAAAAAUUUGGUUCAUUUUAUUCAAUUUGAUUUGUUUUUGUCAUAUUUUGUACAUAAAUUCUUUAAAUCAGAUGAUUGAACCAUGAAUCUAUUCUUCUUCAAAAUGUGUAAUGUUGUUUGUUAAAUUAGUUUCAUUCUUCUUAUCUUCAUUUUUAUUGGGGUGAAUAGAUAGAUUAUUUGAUGGCUAGCCGAAGAAAAUUUGAAUAUAUUUGCAAAUAAAAAAGUGAAAGUUCCAAGCAAAAGAAGAACAAUAUUUAUCAAAACUAAAAAUCCUCUGCAAAUAAUGAUAUUGAUAAGUAUAAUGUCUUAUUGUAACUUUUUAGUUUAUUUCAUUCAAUUUGAUUUGUUUUUGUGAUAUUAUGUACUUAAAUUCUUUAAAUCAAAUGAGUUUUUAUAUUUUUAUUUAUUUACAUUUGUAAUCUUUGAUAUUUUUACGGCGAUUAAUAUUUUUUUAGAUUGUACGUUAUUUUUUAAAUUUAAUUUUGGUGAAGUUAUUCUAAUACUUUUUUUUUUUCAUUUUCUGUAAAUUUUUACUCAAUCAUUUACACUAACAUGUUUUUGAUUGUUGGAUUAUUAGUGAUAUAUUCACAGUUUUAAAAUGCUAAAUAUGUGCAAUUGAAUAUCUUAAUUGCUAUGGAAUUAUUAAUAUAAUGUAUCGAUAAAUGUAGAAUAUCAUGAUUUAUGCAUAUUAUUCCACUUUUUUAUAGCUUUUUAGUAAUAUACUUGUGAGUGAUAAAUAUUAAAGUAUGAACAAAAAAUUGUUCAUUUGUUAAGUUAAAUUUUAUUUAAAAUAUAAUUUUUUAAAAUUGUUACUAUACUUAAAAUAAAUGGUUUGUCUUUGAAAUUUUAGAACUUUCAAACCUAUAGAAUAUACAACUAUUCUAAAAAUUAAAUGUACAAAAAAGACUUCUUAUAUUACAAGAUAUUAGAGAAUUUGAAAUUAUUUUGUCAAUACUGAAAUAAAUAAUAGAUCAUUUAGUAAUUAGAAACUACCAUUUAAUUAAUAAGAGAAUAUGCACCAUUGUAUAGGAGAUCGAGACAAAUAGUAACGUGUUUCAAAAUAUUAUAUCAAAGCGAAUUCAAAUUAAGAUUAUUUUUUUAUAACGUGGAAUUCAAACAUUUUUUUAAAAUAUAGAAUUUAUAUAAAUUUUAAAUAGUUAAUUAGGGAUUAUAAAAUUAUUUUUAAAAUGAUAAGUUAGUUAUUUUAAAAUUAUUUUUCCGGCGAGCAGCUGAAGAAGAAGACUGAUUGACGCAGCAAGAGAUCGCCUCACUUUCCUUUAUGAGAAUGUCAAUUUUUUAUUCUUUCCUUUGCUCUUUUAAGUUAGGUUUCUUAAUUGUUUUGUUCUUUCUGUUGAAUGGCUAGUUGAUCCAGACCAUAUCACGGGAGGUGUAUUUUUUUUUUAAUAAAAUGGGCCUUUUUGGCCUUCUCUUAAAAAAAAAAAUUAUAAAGAAAUUUGUAAUUUUUUAAAUAAUUGAAACUGACUAAUUAAAAAUUCAAAUUUUGAAUUUAAUAUUUAUAGUUUUUGUAGAUAGUUAUACUUUUCUGACUUUAUCAUAAUUGUAAGAUAAUUAUAUAACUAGAAGGUACUCUCUAAUAGUGCAUAUAAUUAUUUUGUUUGUUCAAAGAUAUUUCUAUUUAUACGUAAUCUCAAUUUUUAUCUCAAUUAUGUAGAAACUUUAAUAGUAAUCAUAAAUAAUUUCAAUCAUUAUUAUUAAUAGAACAUUAGAAGAAUUAUUACUAUAGGUAUUUGUGUUAAUAAAAAAUUAAAUUGUUGUAUGUAUUAUUGCUAUAUAACUAAAGAAAAUAACACGGGGAAGAAAAUAAGUAAGUAAACAUUAUAAGUUGUAUUGAAAUAUAUUUAAGUUAAUAAAAACGGAAAUUGUUGUAAAGUAUUACUUUUUUAUGAUUAAACAAAAAUAACAAUUUGAAGAAAAUAAUAAAUAAAGAUUACACGUUGUAUUAAAAAUAAUAAAGUACUAAAAAUUAAGAUAAAUUUUAUAAUAGUCAUAAAAGGAAUUUAUGCAAUAAUUACUAUAAUAGAAUACUAGAAAAAAUUGAUAAGUUCCUCGACAUAUAAUCAUUGAUAAAAAAUUAAAUUAUUAUUUUCUUUUUUCGAAAGUUUUAAAAGUAAACUUAUUCAGUAUUUGUGAUUAAUUAUUUUCAAUGAUUAAUAAAAAAUGUAUAUAUCAUGAACAUGUUUCUAUUAUUAUAUGACAUUAUUUUAUAUUGACUCUAUUUUAAAUUACUUUUCUAUUAUCGUUUGACACAAAUUUAAGAAUGUAAAGAAUAUUUUGAAUCUUUUGAAUUUGAAAAAAAUAUAUGCAAAAUAUAUUAACAUGUCAUUUAGUCUUAUGAUAUUUUACCUUUCAUGUGAAAUAUUUUUGACUAAUAAAUUCUUAAUAUGAAAAAUAUAUUAAUAUAUCAAUACAACAUAAAAAUAAUAAAGGACAAAUAUGUAAAAAUAUUUCAACUAAUUGAUGUUUCAUGAAAUUAAAUCAAUCAUAAAUUCAUAUAUAGCCGCACAACACAUGGGUACGUAUACUAGUUAAUAUUAAAAAACACUCAUCGUGCGCUUCAAUCUCCCCAAUUUGUUUAGUCAGCACUCAACAUUUUGUAUUUAAAUGGUACAUGAAAAAUGAAACAAAAUUUAGUUGGAGUGCCAAAAUGAAAUUUCGAAACAAGUUAAAAGAAAUUUUAUGUGUUGGGCGGACCAUAAAAGAAAGCAGGUCAUGUGCAAAAGUGCAGUCUUUGGUUUGCUCAAAAGGAAAUACUAGUAGAAGGGACCAACAAGGAUUUUGGUGGAAUGGUAAGUACUUCUUCAUUUUUAAUCAGAGGUCUCGGGUUCAAGUCCCCAUGGAUACGGAGUCGUCUUUAUUAGGGAGCGUUUUACCUCAAAUGUGAGACUUCUCGACACGAAUUUGAAUUUAAUCGGAUUCUAAUGUGAAUACCUGACACCAAAUGAAAAACCCAAAAAAAAAAGAAAAAAAGAAAGAGAAAUGCUAGUGGAAGGGGGUCCAUUUAUCCCCAUUUCAAUGAGCAGUUCUUGUAAAAUGACCUUUCAAUUUAGUUGAAAAGCAACAAGGUCCCAAUCCAUCCAUAACUUCAUCUCUUAUUGAUCACUGCUUCAGUACAUCAACAGUGUAUAUAGUUAAGUUUUUCUAGGACCAUUUGUCUUUAAUCAUGGAUCUUGAAUAUACAAUCCCAGUUGGUUUUUAAGCAAGAAAAUGCCCCUACCUCUUAUUAAAGUACAUAUAUACUCAAUGAAGAAUCAAAGAAAAGUAGCACUUGAUCAUUCUUCAUGGAUUUGAAUAUCAACACUUCUGUGAAAAAGACACUUAAUUCACUUAUAAAGCACUAAGGCCUCUAUCAAUCACUUUAUCCUGACUCUCCCAACACAAUUACUGCUACUGUUUAUAGUGUAGUCUGAUUUUGGGACCAUUUUGGCUUUGGUUCUUCAAUAAGUGGAGUUUUAUGCAAGAAUACACAUCAUGAUUCUUGGAACACAUUGAAUAUUAGUAGUAAUUAACACUUCAAAAUUAGGGACAUACAAACAAACCUCAUCAAAAGGAAAUGCAAAACUACUACAUCCAAAUUUGUCAAGAGAAAUACUGAAACCUAAGUUGUUACUCUAGGACCUGAAUUUGUUAAAAGGGAGCUUCACUGGCCAAAAUAUCUGCUGAUCCUCACCAUGCUUUCUCUUCGCCAAAACUGACUUUACAUUCAAAUUUUGACUAUCUGAACUCAUUGAAGAUGAUUCAAACUGGUUUUUAUCAGCAUUUUCGUUCAAAAAGAAUGACAACCCUCUAUUGAACUGUGGAGAUAGAUCAUUCAACUUGCAUUUAUCACCAGCUUUUUCAUCCUCACAUAAAGCGUUCUCAACUCUAGUGCAGGGAACCAAAAACGAACCCAAACGCAGCGAUAAAUCACACCCUAUUACAGUCUGAUUUUCAGAAACAUCUUCAAAAUCUGUCCGAGAAGUUUCACUUGACGCGUUUAAGUUACAUGACAGAGUAUUUCUUAGAGUAAUCUUCUUGUUCUCAUCCAUAAGCUGAGCAUUUGAUUUGUCAUCACUUGUGGAGCCAAAUUUGGGACCGGAAGGUUCAGAUUGACAACCAUUAUACAAAGGAUAUAUAGAACAAGAAGAAGGCGAAGUACGGGUAGUCUGCAUUGGCAAUUUCAGAGUUGAGAAAGGAAGCAUUUUGUUAGAUUGUGGGUUUGAAUUUUUGAGUUUUGAGAAAAAUUGAAUGUUAGGAAAAGGAUUUUCUCUGUUUCUGUCAUGUGAAUUUCCAUUAGCCUGUGGAGUUGGAUAAUAUCUUGGACUAGUGUUCCUUAUUCUUUUUGGUGAGAUCAAAUGCAAAGCAGCUACGAAGAAAGCGAAAAAGAUGAUUAACUCAAAUCAACAUAACAAACAAUUACAACUAUAUCAAUCCAGAAUUUUCAAUUUAGGGUACCUUCAAUACAAGGUUGUAAGAGGCCUCUAGACUUAGAUUCAUCUUUGUAUUCUCUUCUAAUGAUGGUGUCAAUAGCAUCAUUCAAUCUAUCCCAAAGUGUUUUAAGAUCCAUAUACUCAGCCUAAACAAACAACAUACAUAUAAACAACACAUAAUUACAAAUAAAUAAAGUUAAUCAGAAGAAGGGGAAAAGCAAAAACCUCAGAAUUGGCUUUGGAAUACAUAAUUUCCUCAGCUCUAAAAACAACUAUAGGAAGCUUCUCUUGCCAUUCCAUAUUCUUCUUUGUUGCUGAGCCAUGAACCUCAUUCACAAUCCUACCCACUCAAGAAAAACAUAAGAAAUCUUAAACAAAACUCCUCAAAAUGGUGUUGAAAAGGAAGAAAAGAAACAGUACCUGAAAAUUUCUUGAAUAAAGGAACCUCUGAUUGGUUGGUGUGUAUCACUAUGCCAAGCUUUUUUAACACAUUCAUAAGCUCUUGUAGAUUUAGGCAUGUUGAAACAACAAGUAGAAGGAGAAAAGUACAAUAAAGUAUAUAUAUAUAUAUAACUAAAAAUGGUUUUAAAUAAUCUUUGUGAUUACAUCUUUCACCUAUGGAGUAUCUUGGGUUCUCACCACUUUAAUAUUUGCAGUUUUUUUUUCUGUCAUUCACUCAAUAAUUCAUCAAGUGGGGUUCUGUGGGAAGAUUUUUUUAAUUUAAAAAAUCUUUUUUUUUUGUGAAGAGUCUUUGAUGAGUGUCCCCCACUGAAACACAUGCCUGCAUCCCCAGGCCCAAAGGGUCUCUCUCACCUUUGCUCUCUUUCCUGACCAUUCAUGAACUUUUGUCUUUGUGGGGUUGGGGGACUCUCAAACUAAGCCCACAGACAAAGGACCCACCCAAUUUAUCCUAUUUUUUUAUGGAUUGUAUUCGACAUAAAAUUUAAAGGCAUAAUACACUGUUGUCUAUAUUAGUAAAAAUAAUGCAUGCAUUAAUUUUAUGUAUUAGUAGUCUCUUGUUUGAUACACUUUUUCAUGCUAUAUAUAACUAAUGUUUGUAUUGUCUAUUUGAGGAGCAUAUUAUUAAUACCAUGGAUUUCUAGGUAGUAGUAAUGCAAAGGAAUUUAAUACUACAUGUGUAACACCCCAGGAAAUUUUUGAACUAAGACUCAAACCGUUCUUAGUAUUGAGUGAGAUGUCACCAAGGAAUUUAGUAUUUUCCUAAGUGUUAAGGUCACUAGAUGUAGCACCUUGAGUUCCAAGAAGAACUAAAGAGAGUUCAUUCAAGUCAUUCAUAAGUUCUUCUAAGUUUUGGGUUAACUUCAAACGACACUAACAUUCAGUACAUGAUAAGUUAGGUGGGCUAUAAGAUAUCAAAUUAAAGGUCUUUGAAUUAUCUUUCUAACGCCACUGAAUUUGCUAAGUUUCGAGUUCGGAUGAGUGAGAUAUUCCCUUUUUAAGUUAGGCUGUCUAAUUAAGGAAAGUUACCCGAAAAUAGUAAGGGGUAUUUUGGUCUUUUCCUUACCCAAUCAGGUUAAAUUUGUUUUUAGUAAGGUUUUAGGGGUCUAAUCUGAUUAGGUUCAGUUUUAUAAUCCUAAUAUACGCCUAGGGUUUUAGUUGAGAGUUCAAGAAGAGAAAAGAGGAGAAAAGAGGAAAGGAUCAAGGCGUUCGUCGAGGUUCUUGAGUUUUGUUGCAUAUUUUCGUCAUGGGUUUGAUCCCUAAGAGGUAUGUAAGCUUCCAUAGUGUUGGGUUCGUUCACCUACACACCAAUCAUGUUAAUUUCAGCAUUAAAUUCGUUCUAGAAAGUUGAAGGUUUGAUAUUCUUAAAUUGUGUUCUUGAAAUUGGCUUUCGUUUUUGAGUUUAGAUGAGAUUGAUAAGUUCUUGAGGAAAUUCUGUCGAUUUUAGAGCUGUGUUUGAUUAGAUUCUCAUGUACAUGUAUUGGGUAUCUGAAUCUAAAGAGAAAUUGAGAAAAAGCAUCGAAUUUAGGCAAAUUGGGGUUAGAAAAUGAAGAAGGAAAAAGUCAGGAAGAAACUGGGUACCAGGUCUGCGUCACGGACCUGUUCCUCAGAAACAGAACUUUUCUCUCCGCGUCACGGAGAGGUCACGGACCCGUGUCGCGGACUUGCUUCCAGACAGUGAUUUCUUGAUCGUUUCUCAUUUUUAACUAUCUAAAAACACUCGUAAACAUCACAAUAUCUUUCCUAUCAUAAAUCAUAACCUUGAUACCAUAAAUCAAGAGCUAAGAGUUAAGUUUUGAGAGUUCUUUCGAACAUUUUGAGAAAGUCCCUUUGAGUCUUUUUGAGGAGUCUUCUACAGUUUCUAAUAAUGUGUUUCAAGACUCGAGCAAGUGAGUAUGAGUGUGAGGAGAAUGUAUUCAUGAGUCUACUUGGUCAUCACGAGACCCUUCAUAUCAUGAACCAUAAUUCUUGAAUUCAUAAUUCACAUUCAAGGGAGAGUUAAAAGUAGAGUUCAAGAAAGCUUUGGAGUUCAAUUGUGAAUCCUUUGAGAUCAACUAUCGAUUUGAGUUACGAUUGAAGAAGUGAGUAUGAGAACGAGAAGAAUCGUAUACACGAGUUCCAUAUCAUUAUGUAGGCCCUUGAGUCGAGUCGUUCAUUCCCAUAAAUUCUGCAUGAACUCCAUGAGUUGAGUAUCUUUGAGAUGAGUGGUAUCUUCAAGUUCUAAGUCUUGAGUAUUAAGUUUAUAACCCUUUUGAGAUUAUAUUCCUAAUCAUGGGACUAUUACAUGUUACCCAUGAAGUCCUUGAGUUGAGUAGUUCAUGACCAUAACUCUGCAUGAACCCUAUAAGUCGAGCAGUCUUGAGAUGAGAAGUAUCUUUUAGUGCUUGAGUUAAGUAGUUCAUGUUCACAAUUCCGCAUAAACCCUUUGAGUUGAGCAUUUUUGAAAUGAGUAGUAUCAUUGAAGUUCUUGAGUUCUAAGUAUGAGUUCUAUCCAUGGUUAUUGAAACCUUGAAUUGAGUCGUUCGCGUCCAUAAAUCGGCAUGAACUCUAUUUUAAAAAGUCUUUUGCAAAUGCUUUAAACUUGUUUUAAGACUUGAGUUUUGAGUUGAGUAAAGAGUAAAGAGUGACGUUCUUUUCUUCAAAAGAGUACAUGGGGACUAUGUAUUCCUAAAGAGUAAAUGUUUUCACAUUUAAAAAAGAAAGGAAACACCAAUUUCCAAAAAGAGCCUUUGAGCUAGUUUUUCAGUAAAGAGUAAAUGUUUUCACAUUUAAACAAGAAAGGAAACACCGAUUCCCAACAGAGCCUUUGAACUAGUUUUUCAGUAAAGAGUGAAUGCUUUCAUAUUUAAGCAAGAGAGGAAACACUAAUUUCCUAGAGAGCCCUUGGGCUAUUUUUUGAGUAAUUAUUUCAAACCACAGAAAAAGUUAUGUUUUUAAACAUAUGAGCUUGUUAUAUUUUGGCAGUAGUAUUAAGCACCUAUAUAAGGGAGAGUUCAGACAACUCACAACCCCCAUAAACCAUGUAGCCAACGUGGGUAGAAAAGGGUCAUACUUUUUAUAUGAUUCUUUAGUGCAUUUUAGCAUAGACUAGUGGAUCCACUUAGUAGUUAGGUUCUAUACCCCUGGCAAGGUAUAUGACAAUUGUAACACCCCGUAUCCUAGACAGACCAGAAUGCAUAUUCCAGAAGUUGCAGGUGCCAUCGAUGGGCACCACCUACGGAUUGUAGGGUGACCCAUGAACCAUAGAUGGGGUCCGUGGAUGGCCUUCUGCAGCUCCUCUCCAGAAAGCCCAGAAAAUUUAGCUAAUGGUAGACCCACACCAAGACCUACGGAUCGUAGGUAGGACCAUAGUCCGUGGUUCUGACCCCCAAACCUAGUCUCUGAAGCUAGUCGUUGGUUGACUAGGAUGGACUGUGGGUCAGUCCACGGACCAUCGGUUCACCCCGACAACUUUUAAGUCAAGGGUCGUUUGGUCUUUUCCCUAUGCAUUGGAGCCCUAAACUACGUCAUUUAACCCUUAAACUACGUAGUUUUGGUCAGUUUUAGCCUAAUAACUUAAUUAGAACUUACCCUAGUCAACUUAUUCUCCAAAAAAUCAUCAAGUUGAAUGAAAAGAAAGAGAAAGAGUUGACCAAGCCCUAGUUCAGAUCAUAUCGUUACUUUAUCUCUUUGUUCAGUUAUAUGUUUUAUUCAGCUUUAUUCUAUCCUACAUGCUCAGUACCUUUCAAGUACUGACGCAUACUCUACGCUAACUCUUCUCGUGAUGUAGGUUCAAGUACUCAGCAUUCAGAUCACGCAUAGAUCAGUUCCCGAUCUCCAGUUCAGCAGCAUCAGUGGUGAGUCCUCAUUCUUCAAGGAUGAGUGACAUGUUAUCUUUCCAUUUUUAGUCUUUAGUUUCAGUUUUCACUAGAGUUAGCUGGGACAUGUCUCAACAUCUCUAGUCAGUAGAGGCUUUUAUUCAGAUAUAGUUCAGAUUCAGUUUUAGUUUGAGUUUGAUCUUUCAGUUGUCGUUAAACUCAUUUUCAGUUUUAUCUUCAGAUAGUAUUGGGUAUUCCCCUUCAUUUAAUUUUAUGAUAUGUUUCUAGCUUCCGCAUAGUAUAUUUUAUUUAGUAAUAUUUUUGUAUGCUUAUGAUAUGCCAGCACAGGGUUAGCUUGGGGUCACUCGUGAUCCUAGGUCCCGUAUUACGUCCAAGGGUAGCCUCGGGGUGUGACAAACUUGGUAUUAGAGCACUAGGUUUAAGUGUCCUAGGUUGUCUUAAAAGCCACACUAAGUAGAGUCCUUUUCAUAGGUGUGAAGUGCACCACAUCUAAUGAGAGGGAGGCUACGGAGUUUUUUAGGAAAACUUCAUUUUCUUGAUAUUCUUAUCAUGCGUUGGUAUGAUCUCUCUUUCUAAUCCAUCGUUAUGUGUUGUCAGAUCAUGCCUCCUUAUAGAGCUUACGCAAGAAAUGCGAAUGCCCGCAACACUAACGCGGCUCCUCUAGUCCUAAAUCAGGAAGUUUCGAAUGUAGAGUUUCGGAAUGCUAUUCAGCUUUUGGCUCAGAGUGUGACUAAAUAGAACAAUCUGCAGGCCCUAAUUCCUGCUAACACUAAUGUUGGGUCAGCUGCAGCUAGCAUUCAAGAUUUUGUUAAGAUGAAUCCACCUGAGUUUCUAGGGUCGCAGGUUGGUGAGGAUCCCCAUAACUUCAUUGAUAAGGUCAAGAAAAUCUUUGGAGUGAUACAAGAGACUGGUAACGAUAGGGUAGAGUUGGCAUCCUACCAGCUUAAGGAUGUAGCUCCAUAUGGUUUACUCAAUCGAAAGAAAAUAGGGGUACGGAUGCAGUUCCUAUCACUUGGGAGUGUUUUAGUGAGACAUUUCUAGACCGGUUCUUCCCAAGAGAGUUGAGGGAGGCAAAAGCUCAGGAGUUUAUGAAUUUGAGGCAAGUUAGCAUGUGAGUCCAAGAGUACGGACUCAAGUUCACCCAACUUUCUAGUUGUGAUGCUCACGUGGUUGUUGAUCCAAGGGCACAAAUGAAUAAGUUUCUGUAUGGGGUAUCCGACUUAGUGAAAACAGAAUGCAGAAAUAUUAUGUUGCUGGAAAAUAUGAACAUCUCUAGGCUUAUGACCUAUGCUCAGCAGGUUGAGGGAAAUAAGCUUAGGAACAUGCUAAGGAUAAUAAGAAAGCUAGGACAGGAAACUAUAAGUAUUCUCAGCACAAAUCGAGUGGUGGAAAUCGCUCUCAAUUCCUGCAUAAAUCUUCAGCUCCAGCAUAAAUCUUUAGCUUCAGCACCUUCAUCAGCUAGUGCUCCAUCCUCUAAGUUUCUUCAGGAUCAGAAAGGUAGGGCAUCAGGAUCUAAGUCUCAGGGGAGUGUUUCAGGUAAUAAGACCUACCCAACUUGUCAUAAGUGUGGUAAGAACCAUCCGGGCGAGUGUCUUGCAGGGAGGAAGGAUGUUUUGGUUGUGGUCAGACUGGUCACAGGUUGAGAGAUUGUCCUUCUUCUAAACAGAGUCAUGGAGGUAACAAUAGUAUGGCUCAGUCUACACCUCCAGCAGCACUAGCAAGUUGCCCAACUCAGCAGGGUGCUUCAUCUGGUAUAGGUGGCGAUCAGCACCAGAACAUGUUGUAUGCCUUCCAGGCUCACCAGGAUCAGGAAGAUUCUGCUGAUGUGGUUACUGGUACAUUGCGAGUCCUUCAUUUAGAUGUUUAUGCUUUGUUAGAUCCAGGGGCUACUCUUUCCUUUAUAACUCCCUAUAUAGCAGUAAAAUUUGGUGUUAGUCCAGAAACUCUUUGAGAACCCUUCUCAGUCUCUACUCUAGUUGGUGACCCAGUUAUAGCUAGACGGGUAUAUAGAAAUUGCAUUGUCACAGUUUCUCUAAAACCUCAACAAAUCUUGUAUAGUUAGAAAUGGUAGACAUUGAUGUCAUUCUAGGCAUGGAUUGGUUACAUUCCUGUUAUGCCUCAGUCAAUUAUAGAACUAAGAUUGUUUGUUUUCAGUUUCUAGAUGAUCCAAUCUUAGAAUGGAAGGGUAGUAGAUUAGUGCCUAUGGGUCGAUUCAUUUCUUACCUUAAGUCCAGAAAGUUGAUUUCUAAGGGUUGUCUCUAUCAUCUAGUUCGGGUUAAGGAUUCUAGCUCCAAACCCUAACUCUUGAGUCAGUUCCUGUAGUUAAUGGGUUUCUAGAACUGUUUCCAGAAGAUCUUCCUGGAGUUCCUCUUGAAAGGGAAAUUGACGUCAGAAUUGAUCUCCUUCCAGAUACCUAACCUAUUUCUAUUCCUCCUUACAGAAUGGCUCCAGCUGAGCUUAAGGAAUUGAAAAAGCAGUUAAAAGACCUUCUAAAUAAAGGCUUCAUCAGACCCAAUAUAUCCCCAUGGGGUGCACCAGUGUUGUUCGUGAAAAAAAUGGUUUUCUCAUGAUGUACAUUGACUAUCGGCAAUUGAACAAAGUCACAAUUAAGAAUAAGUACCUUAUCCCCAUGAUUGAUGACUUGUUUGACCAACUUUAGGGUGCUAGUCAUUUUUCGAAGAUAGACCUCAGAUCCGGUUAUCAUCAGCUUAGAGUCAGAGAUAGUUACAUUCCGAAAACAGCCUUCAGAACUCGGUAUGGUCAUUAUGAAUUUGUAGUUAUGUCAUUUGGACUAAUCAAUUCUCCUGCAGCUUUCAUGGACUUGAUGAACAGGGUGUUCAAGCAAUAUUUGGACUUGUUCGUUAUCGUCUUUAUUGAUGAUAUCCUCAUUUAUUCUAGGAAUAAGGAAGAACAUGCGACUCAUUUGAGGGUGGUCCUGCAAAAUCUCAAAGAUCGCCAGUUAUUCACAAAGUUUAGCAAAUAUGAGUUUUGGUUGCAAUUAGUUGCUUUCCUUGGGCAUAUUGUGUCUAGUGAAAGUAUCUGAGUGGAUUCUCAGAAAACAGAAGUAGUGAAACAAUGGCCCAGACCUACCUCUCCUACGGAUAUCAGAAGUUUCAUGGAAGGAAUUUCAUCCAUAGCUUCUCCAUUGACUAAGUUGGCUCAGAAAAAGGUCAAGUUUCAGUGGUCAGAUGAGUGUGAGAAGAGCUUCGCUGAACUGAAAACUAGGUUGACUACAACUUAUGUUUUGACUCUACUAGAGGGUUUAGACGGUUAUGUGAUCUACUACGAUGCGUCCAGAGUCGGCCUAGGUUGUGUGUUGAUGCAGUGAGGUAAGGUUAUAUCGUAUACUUCUAGACAACUUAAGGUGCAUGAGAAGAACUAUCUGACUCAUGACCUCGAGCUUGCAGCCGUAGUAUUUGCCCUUAAGAUUUGGAGACACUACUUGUAUGGUGUUCACAUAGAUGUGUUCACAGACCAUAAGAGCCUUCAGUAUGUGUUCACCCAAAAAGAGUUGAACCUUUGCCAGAGGAGAUAACUUGAGCUCCUCAAGGACUUUGAUGAUAUGAAUGUACUUUACCAUCCUGGUAAGGCCAAUGUAGUAGCAGAUUCUCUUAGCAGACUAUUUAUGGGUAGCGUAGCACAUGUCGAGAAAAAAAGGAAAGAACUAGCAAAAGAUGUUCACCGGCUUGCUCGUUUGGGAGUUCGCCUUAUGAGCAUAUCAGAUGGUGGUGUAACAGUUUAGAAUGGGUCAAAAUCUUCAUUGGUAGUGGAGGUUAAAGAAAGACAAGACAGUGAUCCAAUAUUGCUUCAACUAAAGGGUGCAGUCCAUCAACAGAGGGUUGAGGUUUUCUCCCAAGGGGGAGAUGGUGUGCUUCACUAUCAUGGUCGUUUAUGUGUUCCUAAGAUGGGUGAGUUGAGACAACAAAUUCUCGCAGAAGCCCAUAACUCCAGGUAUUCUAUUCAUCCAGGCACCGCUAAGAUGUACCGUGAUCUGUGGGAAGUCUUUUGGUGGAAUGACAUGAAAAAGGAUAUAGCAGAUUUAGUGGCUAAGUGUCCUAAUUGUCAACAAGUGAAGGUAGAACAUCAGAAACCAGAGGGUAUGAAUCAACAGAUCAACAUUCCUACUUGGAAGUGGGAAGUGAUCAACAUGGACUUCAUUACAGGUUUACCUCAUACUCGCAGACAUCAUGACUCCAUUUGACUGAUAGUUGACAGAGUUACUAAGUCUGCACACUUUUUGGCUGUCAGGACUACUGAUUCGGAGGAAGACUACACCAAGCUUUACAUUAAUAAGAUAGUCAAGUUACAUAUGGUUCCUUUGUCUAUCAUCUCAGAUAGAGGUCCUCAGUUUACCUCUCAUUUCUGGAAGUCUUUUCAGAAAGGUCUUGGUACUUAUAUUAAUCUUAGCACAUCAUUUCAUCCAUAGAUGGAUGGUCAGACAUAGCGUACUAUUCAGACCUUAGAGGACAUGUUGAGAGCUUGUGUGAUCGACUUCAAGGGUAGUUGGGAUGAUCACCUUCCUCUUAUAGAGUUCGCCUACAAUAAUAACUACCACUCCAGUAUUCAGAUGGCCUUUUAUGAGGCAUUCUAUGGGUGCAGAUGUAGAUCUCCAGUUAGGUGGUUUGAGGUAGGUGAAUCAGCCUUGAUAGGGCCUGAUUUGGUUCAUGAUGCUACGAAAAAAGUUUUGCUCAUCAGAGACAGACUUCAGACAGCCUAGAGUCGCCAGAAGACUUAUGCAGAUGUAAGGAGAAGGGACUUGGAGUUCCAAAUUGAUGAUGGGUUUCUUGAAAGUGUCACCUAUGAAGGGGGUGAUGAGAUUUGGCAAGAAAGGGAAGAUCAAUCCUAGAUAUGUAGGCCCUUACAAGAUCUUGAAAAAAGUUGGUAAAGUGGCUUAUGAGUUAGAGUUGCCAGACGAACUAGCAGCAGCGCAUCCGGUCUUUCAUAUUUUGUUGUUGAAAAAGUGUGUGGGUGAUCCAGCAUCUAUAACACCUUUGGAAAGUGUGGCUGUGAAAGAUAGUCUCACUUAUGAGGAUGUGCCAGUUGAGAUUCUUAUUCGUCAAGUUCGUAGGUUGAGAAACAAAUAAGUCGUUUCAGUUAAGGUUUUGUGGAGGAUUCAGUCCGUAGAGGGAGCUACUUGGGAAGCAAAUGUAGCCAUAAAGUCCAAGUAUCCUCAUCUCUUUCCUUCUAAUUCCAUUCCAGUUUGAGGUAAUAGUUCCUCUCCAGUGCUUCAGUUACUCAUGCGUAGAUUCAAUCUUAGUAUCAUGUUCCUUCGGUUGUUCUUGCAUUUUCAGCAUAUUUGCAUGUUCUUGGAACUUAGUUGAGUCAUAUUUCAGUUUUCAGUGUUUAGUGAUAGGGUUUUCAACUCUUUCCCUCCACCUUCAGCUAGUUUUAGUCUUCAUUCAAGGACGAAUAUUCCCAAGGGGGAGAUAAUGUAACACUCUAUAUCCUAGACAGACUAGAAUGCAGAUUCCAGAAGUUACAGGUGCCACCGACAGGCACCACCCACGGACCGUAGGGUGACCCACAGACCGUAGGUGGGGUCCAUGGAUGGCCACUUGCAGCCCCUCCACAGAAAGCCCAGAAAAUUUGGCUAAGGGUAGACUCACGCCUGGACCUACGGAUCGUAGGUGAGGCCAUGGUCUGUGGUCAAGGUCAGUGGUUCAGACCACGAGAACCUAGUCUCUGAAGACAGUCAACGAUUGACUAGGACUGACCGUGGGUCAGUCCACGGACCGUCGGUUGGCCCCGACAACUUUAAGUCAGGGGUCGUUUGAUCUUUUCCCUAUGCGUUGGACCCCUAAACUACGUUGUUUAACCCCUAAACUAUAUAGUUUUGGUUAAUUUUAGCCUAGUAACUUAAUUAGAGCUUACCUUAGUCAACUCAUUCUCCAAAUAAUCAUCAAGUUGAAUGAAAAGAAGGAGAAAGAGUCGACCAAGCCCUAGUCCAAGAACGCAUCAAGUUUUCUUCAGUUCCAGCCUCAAAAUCGAAAGAUUUCUCCGUGAAUUUCAUCACCAGGUAUAUGGAAUUUCACUAGUGGGUUCCUUUCACUCAUUAGGUCCUUAGAAUUCAAUCAAAUUCUUGAUUCUCUACAUCAUGCUUAGACCUAGGGUUUCUAGAAUUUCAAAUUUAUGUUAUGAUUCAAUUGGUAGAUUAAUCCAAAUCAGAUUAUCAUGUUUUUGAGGAAUUGUUUCUUAGCUUAUUUCAUGAAACUCAGAACCCUAGUUGUGUAGAUUCGUUUAGUUCAUGAAUUACACUUGCUAGGUCAGUUUAUUCAGUUAUACAUGCCCCAGUUAAGAAUGUUUCAUUAUUAGUAUAUUAAUGUUGCAUUUUCAGUUAGCAUGUCAGUAUUUUGAGUUAUUCAGUAUUACAAAUGUUCAGUCAUAAUAUGUUAAUUACAUAAUCAGUUGGGAGUAGGCUUAAUACCAAGUGGACUAAGGGCCAGUCACCCUCAUAGUCCCAGAACUACAUGCCCCCGUAGGUAAGUCCCCUCUGUGGGCAUUAUACUUAGUGAUCAUGCCAGUCAUGCCUCUAUACCCUUGGAAAGGUAUAUUGGGUCCUCUCGAUGGGACAUAUACAUCGGAAUCCACAUUUAACUCAUGUGGUUUUAUGUCGGUUAUUAGUAGCUUCCACAGACAGAUUCUAGUGUAUUUACCAGGUUAUCAGUUAUAGUUCAGUAUUUAGUCUCAGUAUGUUAUAAGUUUUGUCACUACAUUCAGUUAGUUUAUAUUCAGCAUGUCUAGCAUAUUUAUGUUCAAAUUCUAUCAUUGCUUUAUCGCUUUGUUCAGUUAUAUGUUUUAUUCAGCUUUAUUCUAUCCUGCGUGCUCAGUACCUUUCAAGUACUGACGCAUACUCUGCGCUACAUCUUCUCGUGAUGUAGGUUCAGGUCCUCAACAUUCAGAUCAUGCAUAGAUCGGUUCCUGAUCUCCAGUUCAGCAGCAUCAGUGGUGAGUCCUCAUUCUUCGAGGACGAGUGACAUGUUAUCUUUCCAUUUUCAGUCUUUAGUUUCAAUUUUCGCUAGAGUUAGCUGGGGACCUGUCUCAGCAUCUCUAGUCAGUAGAGGCUUUUAUUCAGACAUAGUUUAGAUUCAAUUUUAGUAUGUGUUUGAUCUUUCAGUUGUCGUUAAACUCAUUUUCAGUUUUAUCUUCAGACAGUAUUGGGUAUUCCCCUUCUUUUCAUUUUAUGAUAUAUUUCUGGCUUCCGCAUAGUAUAUUUUAUUAAGUAAUCUUUUAUAUUCUUAUGAUAUGCCAGCUCAGGGUUAGCUUGGGGUCACUCGUGAUCCUAGGUCCUGUGUUUACGUCCAAAGUGGUAGCCUCGGGGCAUAACAACGGCCCUGGCAGCGUGAGGAAAAACGUUGUAUCAUCACAUAGCUCAUAAGAGAUGGUUGUCGGUUAGAGAAACUCCCGCGGAGAUAUUUUGUAUUCUUAUAUACACACAGUUUAUUGUGUAUUUUCAUAUACAAAUAGAGUUUAUAUUGUAUCCUUGCAUACAAACUGAGUAUAUUGUAUUCUUAAAUACAUUGAGUUGCUUUCUAUUGUUAUAAAAACUUUCCAUAUAUUGCAUCUCUUAUUGUUGCUUUAUAUUGAUUUGAGUAUCCAGAGUUGAGUAUAUAGAGUUGAGUACCCAGAGUCGAGUGUCUGAUAAUUGAGUUGAGUCUUAUUUCACUAUGUUGAGUAUCUUAUCAUUGAGUUGAGCCUUAUUUCACUGAGUUGAAUGUCUUAUCAUUGAGUUGAGCCCUAUUUUCUAUGAGUUGAGUUGAACUAUGUUUCUUUAAGUUGAGUCGAGUUAAGUUAAGUGAGUUGAGAAGAGGUAAGUAUGUUGCUAUUCCACCAGUUCAAGCUUAUGUUCAUGAUUUAGAAUUUCCCUUACAUGCUCAUAUAUUCCGUGUAUUGAGCCAUUUGGCCUACAUCAUUUCAUGAUGUAGAUACAUGUAUUCAGGAUCAUCAACAGGAGAUUCGUUGAUACCACAUGCAGUUCGAGUUAGCUAUGGUGAGCCUGCUUGCUUCUGGAGGGUUCCACUUGUACUUUCAGUUAUAUCAGUAUUAGGAUGUCGUGGGUCUUGUCCCUAUGUCCAUCUCAGUUGUUAGAGGCUUCUUAGACAGUUAGUUGAUGUUAGUUCUCGAGUCCUUCCAUUUCAGUUAUGCUUGAGACUUGAGUUGCCACUUUGGCCAACGAAUGUUUAAAUAUAAUACAUUCCCAGUUAUCUUUGAGUUUUCAGUUUACUUUUGAAAGUACAUUUAUGUUGAGUAAAGUCUUCUGCUAAGAUUUAAGCCAUGCCAAUGGUUCGCUUAGGGACAACAAUGGUUCUCGAGUGCCAGUCCUGCCCAGGGUGUAGGCUCGGGGUAUGACAAAUUUGGUAUAAGAGCACAUAGUUCAAGAGUCCUAGGGAGUUUAUGAAUCAGUGUCUGUUGAGUUCUAGUUAUUGGUGUGAAGCGCACCAUAACUAUAAUUAGGAGGUUGCGACACAUACGAACUAUGUCACUUCUUUCAUACUCAUUUCGUGCAAUAGAAUGUAUAUCUAUAAAAGUUUCUUUCUAAAUCGUGCUUGCGCGUGUCUUUUAGAUCAAUCCUACAUGAAGACCUGUCAGAGGUCGUCCGGAUAGAAGGAAUAUUGAACCACAGGAACAAGGGGUACCUAAUGCACCAUAAGUGCAACCCCAAUGAGAGGUCAUUAAUGCUGAAUUCUGUGAGUCCAUCUGGAUGUUGAGCCAAAUUGUGACCAACCAAGCUGGGCAACAAAGAGAGAAUCAUCGAGAAGUGGCUCAUAUUUCUAGAGUCUGUGAGUUCUUAAGGAUGAAUCACAUGCAUUAGCAUAUUCAAAGACUUAAUUACUCAUCAAAAACACUUUUACAUCUUUUUUCAUCAUAAUAGUGGAGGAUAUUUUUGUAAAUAAUAUUCUUAUACAAUGAUUGACAUAGUGAGUUUACUAUUUUAUCCUUAUUAAUUAUGAAGUUGAUGAAUUAAAAAUUUAACAUUUUCAAAAAAUUCUACAUUUUUCAAAAUUAAUUAAUUAAAAAUAUAAUAGGUAAAAAAAUUGUCCUUUUUUAUUUGUCAAAAUGAACAAGUAAAAAAUAACAAUUUGACAAAUAGUUAGGGACAAAGGGUCUGAGCAUAACCUAUUCUAAAAUGAUUGCCAGCUUAAGUCAAUUUAAUUCUCAAUUUCAACAAGCUUUCUAUUUUUAAGAAUAAUUAAAAGAAAAAGAGAUGUUGCAUAUCCAUGACUCUGAUCUUAACAACAAGAGUGAUUUACGGAUAAGUAUAAGAUUAAUGUAUUAAUCUAACUGAUGUAUUAAUAUAAUCACUCUAAAUCAAUUAUUAAAUAUGACCCAUUCAACAAGUGUUAAUUCCUUAAAACUAUAUCAAAUUGCAAAUAUAUAGAGUUGAUUAAUUCCAGCCACAACUUGAUAGAAAAUUUUCUAUUACUAAAUAUUGUCCUCAUGUUAUUACAGUAUUUAAUUUAAAUAUAAAAGCAUCGUUAGCAAAUCGUGCCUUGUAAAUAGGAAAUAGAUUUGAUAUUAGCGUCUCAUUCACACGAAAAUUUAGACCGUACAGUCACUAGGAUUAAAUAUACAUCCUUAAUUAAUAUAAUUCCAGCUGUAAGACAAAAUCACACAUCUUUUAGACAAGUUUAGUAAAUCUCCAAAAUGAUUAAUCAAAUAUAUAAAAGUACAUUAAAUAUAUUAUUAUUUUUAUCGAAAUGAUUUAUUGUUUUAACAUAGAAAUUCAAGAUGCUAGAAUACUACUAAAUGAAUUGGUCAUUUAAUUAAAGUGAAUUUUGCAUCCACAAUACAUCAAUGAGAUAAUAUUAUUUAGACUAAAUUAGGCAGAUCAUGUUUCAAUUUAAUUUUUAGCUUAAUUUAGUUCAAAAUAAAUUCGAACAAAUCUUAAUUCAAUCAUAUUUUUUGUUCAAACUCAUUUUUACUUCUCCAAUUCAGUCAAAGUGGUCCAUUUGUCACCUCUAAUUUGAGGUAUCAUUUGUCACCGUCGGUAGGGGAAAUGGCAGGCGAACCCUAGCCUCAUAAUAUAUUUAAUCCACUCAUUAGUCAUUACUGUACGUUUCACUGUUCACCCAAAACUUUUUUACUCUUUUAGACUGUUCAGAAAGAUUACAGUUGCUCCACUCCGAUUCGAAAUAUAUAAUACAGAAACAUGUCUUUUAACUAAAUUUUAUUUUAUAUUUAUAUUCUUCAAUUUUGAAUAUGUAUAAGUAGACAUUUAAAUUUCUAUAAAGUUGAACAAAUAGAUGCAUGAGUUUUAUGUGACAUAAUACUUAUAGGACAUAACAUAUGACACAAAUUAUCAUAUAAGAUGUCACAUAAAAUUGUGGGUCUAUUUAUUCAAAUUUAUAUAAAUAUAAGUAUAUACUUGGGUACACCCAAAAUUGAAAGCAUAAAUGUGAAAUAAAAUUAAAUUAAAAGGUAUAUUUAUGUAUUAUGCCUAUUAGAAAUGCUUUAAAAUUGGCUUAAGUCAUCGACAACCACUUAAAGUUGUCCCCAUAAUUCAUUUGAACACCUCAACUAAGGUUUGUACCUAUGAACACCUCUACCCCUCAGAAUUGAUAUCGUUUUGACUUUUUUCUAACAAUCAAUAAAAAAUUUAAAGUGUGUGAGCUACACUCGUGAUGACAUGACACAAUAACGAAUUAAAUUGUAACACGUGUCAUUUGGGUUCAAAAAUUUAUUUAAGAAAAUAUUAUAAUUUCUUUAAAAAAUAAAUAAAAAAAUAGAAAAGUAAAAAUUAGCCCUUCACAACCCACCCACCCAAAACCUUCCGGUAGGAAUCAGCCGCCACCACAGUCCGUCCACCAGUUCGCCCACCCGUCCGUCCAACAUUUAUUUCUGUAAUCAACACCAUAGAUGCCAUCUACCCUCACCCUUUUAUUUCGAUUUGUGAUUUUCAUCAUUAUCAUAAUUGUCAUUUCUCCUAUCUCAUUCUCUUUCUCAAACAUCAAUUAAAAUUUGUCGAUAAUUUUUAUAUUGCGGGUUCUUUAGGGUUUGAACUCUUUAACAAUUUUUUUUAAAAAAAUGAAAUUUGUACUAUUCUUGUCGGAAAAAAUGGAGGUUCGUCGGAUUUUUUUUUACUUUUGACCCAAUCUGAUUUUAUUUUCUUGAUUGCAUUUACUUUGACAACUUUAACUCUUUUGAAAUUUUCAGUUAGAUUUUUUCAGAUUUAUAUCAGUUCUUUUGAAUUUUUCUGAUUUGACUGUCAUUUGUUUAAUAGGUAGUUCUCCAAUAAAGAUAAUAAUGACGAUAUUGGUGAUGGAGAAAUGAUAUUAGAAAGGAAAAACGAAGGAGAAUAUAGAAAGGGGUGAAGGUGGAACAAUGGCAGAAAGAUUGAGCUGGUGAAGAAAGGUGGAAGAUUAAGGUGGUGUGGAAUUAAUUUUGAGGAAGAAGACUGCUAAAGAUUUUUUUUUUAUGUUUAGAUUUUUGCUCAACUUUUAAAAUGUUGACAUGUCAAUAUUUGAAUGGAUUGUACUAAUGUUUCUUUUUGCUUCACGCGCUUCUCAAGGGUGUAAUACACCUUUGAUGCCAUAUCAUCAAAAAGUACUUAAUAGGUACAUGUUUUGAAUAAGAUAGGUGUUGAAACCCAAUUUUGGACCUGCACAAUAUAAAUUAAUCAUCGAGUUUCAUAAAUCAAAACGAUUUGAAAUAAUUGACUUUAUAAAGUUCAAAAUAUUUUUCAAGUUAAUUUUACAAGUUUUAUAAUUUUUAAAUUAGCAUAUAUGUUUUAUAUAAUUUUGUAUAUAAUUAGUAUAUUUUAUAAACAUUUCAAAAACCAUCUCAAAAAGAUUUUAAUUUUAGUAAGUAUUUUAUUGAAUUAAUUUUGUCUAAAUUAGUAGUUUAUAUUUUGAGUCAUUAGUAUAUUAAGUUAAUUAUUCUAUGUCGUUAGAAGUAAGAAGCUCUUUAAUUAAUUCAUAUUGAUUCAUCUUGUUUAAGAUUUGGCCAAAGUUCUCCGAUCAAAAUUCAUUUGACCACUUUUGUAGUUAUAAUUUCAACUACACAAAAAAAAAAUUCCUUCCAAUUUUUGGACCCAAGUUGGCCCACUUUCACGCACAUUUUAAUUUCCAGUCCGCUACCUCAAUCCCCUUUAAUUUUCAGCAGCCCAAUUCCUCACACCUGACCCGACCCAUUUCCAAUUAUAAAGAGACCUAUAACAUCAUCAGCACAACAGUUCCAAACGCUCACAGAAAGCACGUUAACUCCAGCAAACGACAACAACAGAGGCAGCGAUACACGACGUCUUCAUAUCCUCAACAAAACGACAAUCCAGCAAUGACUAAAUGACGCCCCAACGUUCAUCAACUCAUGGCAUGAACACAGAAUAGCACACGGAAGAGCAGAACACGGAACAUUACUUUGCUCCUCCUUGUCUCCUUCCUCAAUUUCUCUCUCCAAUUAAUGUCGCAGUAGCAAGCGUUUCUUCCUUUUACCUCUUUGGGAAUGGGGUGAAAUUUCGGAAAAAGUUUGUCUCUCCGAAAUUGUGAAUGAAAUUUUGAGUUUGAAUUCGAAAAGGGCCCUUGAAUUUGAGUUUUUGGAUCCCUUUUCCCCCAUUUUUUCUGAACCUAAUUUCCCUUCUAUAUAAUUGCUUUUGUUCACAGUUGAAGGGGGAGAGAUUUUUUAGUUGAAAAUUCUUUACUAAGGCAGAGAAAAAAGUUGAAAAGUAUUGGAAAAAAUCGGUGAGAGUUUACAGAGGAGACGAUUCCAAAGCUACAAAAUUAUAUAAGAAAUACUCCUCACAUUCCUUUUCUUUUCCGUGUGCGCUGGUUGCUGGAAUUCUCGAUGAAUUCUCGAGGUCUUUGUGUAGUGGUGGACGCUUCUCGUGGUUAGCUUGUUCUCGUCUCAGUUCACUGCCCCCGAAAAGGUAAACUUCUUUUCAAUUCCAACUCUUCAGUUGUCGUUCUAUUUUUUUUUAUGAGUUGAAAUGGUUUGUUGGUUUAUUUUCUUCAUCUCUUGAAUGUCUUUCUUCUCCUCUGUUCACCGCUCGUGUAUGGUAGCCGAGCGAUUGGGUCUGAGUUGGUGUUCUUAGUCGUCUCCAUGAGUUAGUCGUAAUAUUGAUUUGAAGCUCUGUUGAUUUAUAUUUAGCGUUGAUGGUUCCCCCCUUCUUGUUUGAGUUUAUUUCGUUAUUCCCCUUCUCUAAUCCAUUACUUGAAGGUUGUUGAGUUUUUGCUUCUAUCUCUGCCUAUUUGAGGUUUGUCUGAACAUGAUUUGAGUUAUGUUUUAUUUUUCUUUUUCGUUAGUAUUGUCUGAUGUAUAUGGAAGUUGUAUGUGCUUUCUCUGGGUAUUUUAAACAUAAAUCCCUUUUUCCCUCUAAGUAAUGGCAGCCACCUUAAUUUUCAAUAGUUGAGGUUGUUCACAUGAAAUUUGUUGGACUUACUCGUCCUCUAUUAGCUUGCUUAUUACUUUUAUUGUGAGCAUGAAAAGCCUUUUUAUUUUAAGCUUUGAUUUAGCUUCUUGAAAUUGAUUUUAAUCGCUUAUUCGUUCCAUGUUUUGGUAUAUUAGUUGUUGUCUAUGACACUUUUCUGAUUGCCUCAAGGUGUAAACUCUUUUAGAUUUUCAACCUCUUUAAAGUUCUUUUGUGGGAGAGGUUGAGUUCAUGUAAGUGUGACAAGAAUAUCAUUUCUUUCCUGUCGUAUUUCGCUGCCAAAAAUGGUUAGAAAAGCUCCUAAAAUAUCAUGUUCACUAUCCUGAAAUGUCUUCAUAACUGCCAGCCAGCCCCUUUCCAGAUGCCCCCUCUAUUUUGUUGUCAUUAUUUAAUGUCAUUGUGGCUGAUGGUAUUGGGGUAUAACUAACAAAUUUUUCGGUAUACAAUUUGAUGUUUACUCAUACUUUGAGUGGAGCUUUUCUCCUCUUAGUUUAGCAUCUUGAAAAAGCUCUUCUUGAAUUAAUCAUGUGUUUUGUGUAAAAAUUGAACAACUAAGGGUAUUUCCUUUAUUUGUGCAUACUUUGUUGACAAUUAAUUCCCUUUGGGUUUGAAUUAUAACACUGUUAAGGUAAUUUCUUGUGACAAAUAUGUUUAUAUUUAUUAAGAGAAAGAAUUUAUGCCUAAUCUAUUUUUUUAUCUAUCUUUAUCUUUGUAAUGUUGCACUUUUAUUAUUUUUAAAAGAGUUCUUUGGAAUAUAUGGUUUAAUUGGGUCAUAUUUCACCUAAGAUCACCAUACUUUAUUAGUUUAAAAUGCAUAUUUUGGACUAUAAUUUUUGAGUGUCAAAUGUGUGAAUUUUAGAUGCUAUUUAACCGAGGAUAAAAUGUGUUAGUUUCUUUUGUUUAAGUCACUUAAGAAUUGUGAUUUAGAGUAGCUUUUCCAUGGUUACUUACUGAUUUUCCUUUCUUUCCAUGUUUUACUGUAUGUGACAUCUGUUUAAGUCCUCAGGGACUCUAUCUCCGCAUUUCCAAAGGGGUCAUGAAGGCCCUAAUAUUCUUUAUUUGAGUCAGCCAGCCAUCAGGAGUGAAGAAUAAUUCCCUUGAAAUCGAAGAACAGGUCCUUCAAAAAUUGACGAAUAGGGUUUGGAGCUGAUACGAAAUUGUAUACACUAGUAUACACCUAGUGUAUACGAAAAAAAUGAGAAGAUGGGCUUAAAGAGUCUCUCUCUUCUUUAAGAAGUUGUAUUUUGUUAUGUUUGGGCCUAAGCCCUCUUAUUUCCAUUAUUAUAAUGUGUUAUUUAUUAGGACAGGUAUCAAAUGGAAGAAGUGGGCCUAAAUCCCAAUGAGAAAAUUAGCCUAUCUUAGGACAGGUGCAAAUGGGACAACGGUCCAAAACUGAAAUUAGGCCCAAGUACUGGCCCAAGCGGACAGGAAAACCAUACUUGGGUCCAAGUCUCUCUCUUUAUUUAUUAUGUGUGUUUAUUUGUUAUCGAUUUUAAGGUUUCGAACAUUCAAACCCCCGGAAGACACCCAUUUUGAAUUAAUCAUUUAACUAAAUUAUUAGUCCCUUACUUGACUUAAAAAGUAAAUAAAUAAAUAAAUAAGUUUACAAAAUACUCCAUUUAAAUAAUAUUGCAAUAUUUUUCUAUUUCUCCCUUAAAUUGGUCCCAACUAUAAAAUAGUUCAGUUUUGCAAUUCAAACUAAGUUAAAAUUAUUUUAGCCAAAUAAUUAAUUGCCGGAUAGUCGCGUAUUAGCGGACAUUUCAGGUGCUUUCAAACCCUUCCUGAAAUGCUAAUAAGAACCCCGAACCCCUUUUAAAGUUUUUAUUAGAUUUAUGUUUUAGUCUUUUGAAAACAAUAGUUUUCUUGAUUUUACUUAAAAAUUAAGUGGCGAUUCUAAACCAGUCUAAUUAUAUGUUUUUAAAUAAAACAGAAUGACGACUCUGCUGGGGAUUUGAAUGGUUCUAACCUUAAGAUUAAGUUAUUUGGCUACAUGUUUUAACUGUCUAUUUGUUUUAUCUAUCGCAUAUAUUGAAUUGUGGCAUUCAUGGCACCCGAUUUCGCCAAAUGGUAAAUAAAUUGCAUUAGGAAAAAAGUCGGUUACGUGGCUUACCAUGACUGUCUUUCAGAAAAAAUACAAGUUGAAUUCUUUGGAAGUGAUAAACGAAUAGUUGGCUUGUGGUCAUCCAACGUCGUUUAUUAGACUUCACCCCGUUGUUUGUCCGACUCGGGUAAUCGUCAUUUCUAAACCAAUUCUAGUCAACCUAGAGUAGAGCGAAACCAAAUCCAAAUCCAAAUCUAAGCAUUAGCCUAAGACGACUUAAUACCCAAGGCGUAUUAAGUCCAUUAGUAAAACCGCCAAAAAUCAUGUCCAAGGUCCACGACCUAAUGACAUAUCAUAAUAUUUGACAUUUGAAAGAUGUAUGUGUGGAAACCUGAUUGUUGCCUAUUUAUGGGAGGGAAUCUUAACCGUGCUUUAUUUUGUAGGUAUGGAUUGAUUUCGUAAAUUCGACAUGGUAGUGGAAGCCCCAGUUUUGCUCAAGAUGUGGUACAAUGACCUCACUACGGGUCACAGAACUCAUCAACAUGGUCGGGUGGCCUGAGCUGAUUGAAGUCCUCACAGGUUAUUGGGACAACAAGAAGAUGGUGUUCCGAUUUUGAACCAUGGAAAUCACCCCGACAAUUGAGGAAAUUUGGGACGAAAUAAACACAGUCGGUAUAGGGCUUGAAGAAAGAGUGAGAAAACGGGAAAACAUCAUAAUCCCUAACAAGCCUACCCUUGAGGAUAUUGUAAACUGGCUCGGAUUAAGAAAGGAUUGCGCCUAUUGGGCAGAAGGUUCUAGAGUUUCUUUUAUGGAUCUCUAUGUCAGAUUUGGGCAUGCGAGCUUCUAUGCGAAUUACAACCAAGAGUUCAGGGUCACUUUCAGAGAAUGGGACGGGAUCAGACCGUUGGCAUUUACUAUCGCACUAUUAGGCACCAUGGUUUUCCCACAUGGCCCGAGUCUCAGUAUCAACACCCAGGUGAUAAUACUUGCGCACACUCUGUUCCACGGGCAUCUGAACUAACGGCAAGUGAAGUACUACCCUAUCGCGCCUGUCAUCCUUUUCGACAUGUACUGUGCUCUGGGUAGGUGUAAGGAAGGACAUCGUAACUUUCAGGGCUGUAAUCUCUUCCUCCAAUGGUGGAUAAAUAGUCACUUGAUGAAGAGACACAGAACUCAGGAACUCCACACCCUCGAUGAGUAUAAUGCUCUUAAGAGUUUGAAUGACAUGUUGUUCUGGGCAGACUUAGAAAAAAGGAGAACCAGAGAAAGAUGGACUCAAAUUUUCUCUGAGUUGAGAGAAGAAGAUAUUCAGUGGAUAUUCGACCGUUUCUUCUCGAAAGAUGUCAUAGUAUGGGGCGACAGACAAUUUGUGCUUCCUCUACUAGGUAUUCGGGGUAUCCGCCCGUAUGUACCCAUCCGGGUCCUGAGGCAGUUCGAGAGAAGACAGACUACACCUCCAGACGCUUACUACCGUAUCUAUGUGUUCGACAUCGGGGAUGAUAGACUGCAUGAGGCUUCAGAGAUGUUGAGAUAAUGGAAGAAAGCAAUGCGAAUGAAAGAAGGCACCAUCGCCGCGGACCGAUUUAAUGCUGGGUACGAUAAAACUACAAAUCUUGGUUGAAGGGCAAUAUAAAAGGUAUCUCCUUCUCAGUUCCGAACAUUAACCGCAAUGUAGAGGACAAAAAGUCCAAAGCUUUGAUAGAACUAAGAGAGGUAAGAUGAGAAGCCCAUGAAAUGCACGAGGAAUUUCUCUGAAAGCAAGAGGAGGAUAAGUAUGCCCUCGAGAGAGUAACUCAAGAAUUAGAAAGCUUGAGAAACGAUUUGGGAGAGCUCAACUUAUGGAUUGGAGAUAAGUAAAGCGGAAUGUGUCUCGAAGACUGGGAAGAGAAAGGCCGCUGGAGCGAAGGAUACUUGCUAAUGAUUCAAUAUAGGCUUCAACAUCUCAUGGCACCAAACAAGAGGAGCAGAUCAGAGGCGGGGCCAUCAGGAACAUUUUAGCGGAUUUCGCCCCUGUGAGGGUUUUUCUAUGUGUAUUUAUUGUUGUUUGUCCCUGCGUGGGCUUGCCUUUCUUGUAUUUUGGUACUCUUUUCAAAUGACCCCUGCGUGGGCCUUUUCUUUUGUGUUUCCCGUUUAUUCCCUACUCCCCCUGCUUAUUUUUGCUUUUUCGAACAUCAUUUUAUAUGCAAAAUUUUCUUUAGGGUAACAAAAUGGUUCAAUUCUACACAUAUAUCUUUCAAAUACGCUAGGCCUACCCUUGGCGCAAAAGGGCCCCUACUUGUUAGGACGCGCGAUAUAUGCUUAUGUGCUUUAACUGUUUAUAUGAUAUUGUUGCUUUGAAUGAGAACAUUUUUAUCCCACUCCUUUUCAAAAAAAAUUUGAAAGUCCCUACAAUACCAAAUACAAGUCACUAUCAAAUGUCCGACCAAAAUUCCAGGAGUCUUGAGUUUCUCAACCAAAAAUAAAAUCCUACUACCAAAUCCUAAAACAUUACUUUAUCAUUUCAAGAAAGGUAAAAUUGCUGCUAAGAUGGAAAAAGGUAAGAAUGUCGAGGUGAAGACGACUGAGGAGGAUUUAAGGAUGAAACUGCGUCGAUUCAAAUAAGAGAUUCGAGAGAUGGGAGGAAGAAGAAUAUAAGUUGAACUAGCCACCGCAGCUGCGCAACCCAAAAGUGCAACACUAGACGCGGAGUUAGAGGCUAAAAUGGCAAGAUAUGCUAUUAUGAACGAGGAGACGAUUGCUAUGUGAAAGGAACAUGAUGUCUUCAACAAUGAUAUAACCAUGAGGCUUCAGAAAAUACGCGAAAAAUGCUCUUUCUUUAAUCAAGAAGCCGAUAGUGGUCCCGAAGACACUCACCUUGGAGCUACUGAAGAAGAUACUGGGGAGGAAAUUGUUUAUAGGCCCCUUCUCUAGGGACGGUGGAAAGAAGGAAAUGAGAAAAUCACCCUCGAAGCAUAAGAGUUUACCCCCCGUGAUUAAUGCGACAAUCGGAAGAAGAAGCUUUGAUGAAGACACCAUCUAUCUUUUAGGAGCUUUAUUAUCCGUUUUUCACUUUCCUUGUAAUCACCAGAAAUGAAUGAAUGAAAAUGAAAUUUUCCUUUGUAUUCGAACUACAUAGGGCCUGAAUUCUCCUUAGGAGAUACGUAGGCAGCCUUUCAAGGCUUGACCCCUAUCCUUUAAAAUCUUAUUUUCUCCUCUUUCAUUCUACAAGGAAGCAUUGAAUUCACAUCAAUAGAUGCCGAAAGAUGUAGCAAGAAGACCUUAGCUCAACGCGAUUUAACCUUUCUCAGUCACUAGCCUCAAAAUAAAAUGAACAAAUUCCUGCUUGUUCAAAAAAUCAGUUCCCAUUACUCGUGGGUUAUCGUGUCCUCAAACGAAGCGACUUUUAUGUGUUUACAUGCUUUCUAUGUGAUAUUUUGCAUUAUUUGUACUGAAUCAAAACUAACAGAUUUGCCUAUGAGUUGUUUUCCUCUACAGGUAGUUAGAACUGAUCUGUGUUGAUAAGUUGGCUGAACACCCCUAUUUUACAAGAUCAAAAGUCCCUACAGAUUCCUUCCCCGGUCAAAGUUCUCGAAAGGGCAAGUCAACAAUGGGCGAUAACGUUGAGGAUACUGGCUUAACAGAUGUUGUUGUGGCUCAGCCCGUCAUCACCGAUCAGAAUGAGUUAAUCGUGCAGUUAAUGCAACAGAUCGUUGAGAUGCGGGUCGAGAUGCAGAGAAGGCAAGAUUUGCCUAAUCCGGUUUUUGCUUUCAAUGCUCCAGCAGAAGGAAGGCCUCCACUUCACUUUCCUCCGAACACAGAACAGGCUCAAAAUCCACCCUCCAGUCCUGCUCAGAAUCCCUCAAUCAUUGACCUAACCACCCAAAAUCCCCAUUAUGCCUCUGCCUCUUAUCAUACAUUACUCUCUCUUCAAAAUACCAACCUCCAAGUGCCACUUUCUCCCCAAAAUGCCAACCUCCAAACUGGUCCACCACCUCAAAACCAAAAUGUUAACAACCCGCAUACUUCCCUCCAUCACCAAAAUUAACAUACCAACCCCCAAACUUUCCCUCAAAACUACCAAGCCACUCAAAAUGCCCAAAGUCCCUCCAUUGCUCCACCCCUACCCCAGAAAGUUUCACCGGAACCAAGUCAAUGUGAGGCCUUUUGAUGGAUUGCAAAGAGACACAUUGGGUGCGGUAAACUUGGAUAUUCAGGUAGGUCCUGCGGAAUUUAAUGUGGAGUUUCAGGUGUUGGAUAUCAAUACCAGCUACAAUUUGCUUCUGUGAAGACCGUUUAUCCACAUGGCUGGGGUUGUGCCUUCUACCUUUCACCAACUAAUGAAAUUUGUUUGGAAGGACCAGGAAUUGGUCAUUUAUGGUGAAUGGAUCCAUUCCAAUGGCUAUGCACCAAUUGUUGAUGAUAUCUCUCGAGGUUGUGAUUUCUACAUGGUGGAGCUAGUAAAUUCCAUCGAUGAUGACUUGUCCCCACAACCCCCUAUGCCUUCUGUGUACAAGAUGAUUGCAACUGUCAUGCUCCAGAAUGGUUUCGAACCAGGUUUUGAAUUGGGGAAGCACUUUCAAGGAAUUGUCGAGCCUAUUCAGACCCCCGCCAAAGGAGCGAGAUUCGGUUUGGGAUAUGUCCCAACAGAUGACGAAGCAGAGACAAAGAACAAGAGUGUUGACCAAACAUUGGCCAGGCCAAUUCCUCAUUUGUACCAGGCAUUCCCGGUGCGAGAAUAUGUCAACAAUGGUGGUCUCGAGGAAGGAAUAUGGGGCAUGUUCGAAGAAGUUGACACAAUUAAGAAGGAUGAAGCUGGGACCUCAGGAAUCUGUGAUGCCGAGCCGGAGGAACAGUUGCAGAUUUGGACCUCCAUGCCGCUUUUGAUCCCCCGUUCAUAUUGGUAGAAAUGACACAUAUUUAUGUUUGUUUUUAAAAUCGAUGGUAGUCCGGAAGAGGCCUGAGACCCACCAUUUAUGCAGUCUUUUCUUGUUUGAGUUUUUAAUUUCCCCGUGAUAUUUAAAAAGGCAAAAUGGCCCUUGGCCAUGACCAAAGUUUGUGCUUGUUUUUCAAUCUAAAUGAAAGCCUCUUUUAUCAAUUUUUUUUUACUUAUAUGUUUACAUUUUACUUUCCUAACUUUGUUUAUUUAUGAUUUCAGUAAUAUUAAAUUAAGACUUGCCAAUGUCAUGUCAUGUCAUGAACCGAGUGAACGAAAUGAGGCAGGUGAUGACGACUGCGAGGAAUACGAAGAAGAAAAUGAGGUACCCGAACAUGUUGCUGAAGAGUUUUGACAAUUUGAGAAUCAGCACACGAUAAAUUUGGAAGAAAUCGAGACUGUGAAUCUUGGAGAUGAGAAGUGUGUUAAAGAAGUGAGAAUCAGCGUCCAUCUGACUGAAGGUCAAAGAAGGGACCUGGUUCAUUUUCUUAGAGAAUACAUUGAUGUAUUUUCCUGGUCUUACAGAGAUAUGUCAGGGCUGAGUACGAAUAUGGUGUCCCACAAGUUGCCGAUUAAUCCAUCUUUCAGUCCAGUAAAACAAAAGACUUGGAAGUUCAAGCCUGAGUUGAGUUUAAAGAUCAAAGAAGAGAUUACCAAACAGAUCGAGUCUCAAGUAGUGGAAGUGAUGCAAUAUCCAACUUGGUUAGCCAACGUUGUUUCGGUUGCCAAGAAAGACGGAAAAAUUAGAAUUUUUGUUGACUACAGAGAUCUCAACAAAGCUAUCCCAAAAGAUAAUUUUCCAUUGCCAAACAUUCACAUUCUCAUUGAUAACUGUGCUAAGCAUGAGAUGCAGUCAUUUGUGGAUUGUUAUGCGGGCUAUCACCAAAUCCUGAUGGAUGAAGAAGAUGCAGAAAAGACAAUUUUCAUCACGCCCUGGGGUGUAUUUCAUUAUCGGGUGAUUCCUUUUGUUCUCAAGAACGCAGGUGCUACUUACAUGAGGGCUAUGAUGACCAUCAUUCACGAUAUGAUUCACAAGGAGAUCGAGAUGUAUGUAGAUGAUGUCAUAAUCAAGUCCUGCGAGAGUUCGGAUCACUUGACUCACUUGAGGAAAUUCUUUGAUCAUCUACGCCGAUACAAUUUGAAAGUCAAAUCCCGCCAUGUGUGCUUUUGGAGUGCCAGCUAGCAAGCUGUUGGAUUUAUAGUCAACAGGAUGGGAAUUGAGCUUGACCCUUCCAAGAUCAAGGUGAUCCAAGAAUUAUCUCCUCCGAAGACCAAGAAAGAGGUGAUGAGUUUUCUUGGAAGGUUGAACUACAUUAGCCGAUUCAUAGCUCAAUCCACUGUGGUGUGUGAGUCCAUCUUUAAGCUGUUGAAAAAAAAUGCCCUGACCAAGUGGACCAGAAAAUGUCAGACUGCUUUUGAUGCCAUCAAGACUUAUUUGUCCAAUCCACUGGUGUUGGUUCCUCCGCGAGAAGGGAUUCCAUUGUUUCUAUAUUUGUCGAUCUCGGAUAAUGCAUUUGGAUACGUGUUUGGUCAACAUGAUGAAAUAGGGAAGAAGGAGUGAGCCAUCUAUUACUUGAGCAAAAAAUUCACUCCAUAUGAGGCUCGUUACACUCUGUUGGAGAGGACGUGUUGUGCUUUGACUUGAAUUGCUUAGAAGUUAAGACAUUAUUUGUCUUAUUAUACCACAUACCUUAUUUCCAGGAUGGACCCGUUGAAGAAUAUCUUCCAGAAAGCAAUGCCGACUGGGAAGUUGGCUAAAUGUCAAAUGUUUUUUAGUGAGUUUGACAUCGUGUAUGUGACCCAAAAGGCGAUAAAAGCACAAGCCUUGGUUGAUCGUCUUGCGGAGAAUCCAGUUGAUAAAGAGUAUGAAUCGCUUAAGACUUAUUUUCCCGAUGAAGAAGUUGCAUUUGUGGGUGAAGAUAUUUCUGAAGCAUACCCUGGUUGGAGAGUGUUCUUUGAUGGAGCGGCGAAUCACCAAGGGAAAGGAAUCGGAGUGGUCUUAGUAUCAAAAAUCGAUCAGCACUAUCCUAUGGAGGCUAAACUCCGAUUUGAUUGCACAAACAACAUGGCUGAGUAUGAAGCAUGCAUCCUCGGUCUGAAGAUGGCGAUUGAUAUGAACGUUCAUGAGCUUCUGGUUAUUGGAGAUUCAGAUUUGCUAAUUCAUCAGGUGCAAGGAAAAUGGGCCGUGAAGAACCCAAAGAUUACACCGUACGUGCAGUAUAUAUAGAAGUUGUGCAAAAGAUUUCAUAAGAUCGAGUUCAAACACACUCCCAAGACACAAAAUGAGUUGACCGAUGCUCUUGCCACCAUUGCCUCAAUGAUUAAACGUCCGGAUACAAGUUAUAUUGAUCCCUUGGAUAUAGAGGUAAAAGAGCAGCCUGUCUAUUGUUCACAUGUUGAAGCGAAACUAGAUGGUUUGCCUUGGUAUUUUGACAUCAAGAAGUAUUUAGAGACCGGGGCUUAUCCUGAGAAUGCAACGUUCAACCAGAAGAAGUCGAUACGUCGUAUGGCCCUCAGUUUCUUUGCAAGUGGGGAAAUCCUUUAUAGAAGGACUCCAAAUUUAGGUCUUCUCAGUUGUGUUGAUGCUAGUGAAGCUGCAAAGCUUCUGGAACAGAUACAUGCCAGAGUUUGUGGUACUCACAUGAAUGGCUCACUUUGGCGAGGAAGAUCCUUCGAGCCGGCUAUUUUUGGAUGACUAUGGAGCAUGAUUGUUGUAAGUUUGUGUAGAAAUGCCAUAAAUGUCAGGUGCAUGGAGAUCUAAUUCGAGUGCCGCCUUAUGAACUCAAUGCCAUGAGUUCACCUUGGCCGUUUGUAGCUUGGGGCAUGGAUGUCAUUGGUCCAAUAGAGUCAGCCGCCUCCAACUGAAACAAAUUUAUUUUGGUUGUCAUUGACUACUUCACCAAGUGGGUGGAAGCAGCUUCGUAUUAGUCGGUGACCAAGAAGGUUGUAACUGAUUUCGUUCGCAACAACCUGAUAUGUAGGUUUGGAGUGCCAGAAUGCGUCAUUACUUAUAACAGAGCGAAUCUUAACAGUCACUUGAUGAGAGAGCUAUGUGAAUAAUUCAAGAUUAUUCACCGGAACUCAACCGCCUAUCGUCCCCAAAUGAAUGGAGCUGUAGAAGCCGCCAACAAGAACAUAAAGAAGAUUUUAAGGAAAAUAAUUGAUAAUUGCAGAGGUUGGCAUGAGAUGCUACCGUAUGCUUUGUUGGGUUACCGAAUGAUUGUCAGGACAUCAGUUGGAGCUAGUCCAUAUUUGCUAGUAUAUGGAACAAAAGCAGUUAUACCUGCAGAAGUUGAAAUACCUUCAUUGAGAAUCAUCCAAGAAGCUGAAUUGAGUGAUGCUGAAUGGCUUCGCAAGCGGAUUGAUCAGUUGAUAAUGAUUGUUUGUCAUGGACAACUGUAUCGACAGAGAAUGAUUCGUGCUUUUCACAAGAAAGUAAGAGUCAUAAUGUUUGAGGUUGGUUAGUUGGUUCUCAAACGUAUUUUCCCUCACCAGGAUUAAUAUAAAGGGAAAUUUGCACCAAAGUGGCAAGGACCCUACAUGGUUCGCAAAGUAUUAUUUGGAGGUGGAUGGCACCGAAUGACCGAAAUCGAUCAACUCAGACGCUGUCAAGAGAUACUAUGUGUGAAGCUUCAGUUUGUAUUUCUAGUAUUGCCUUGUAAUCGUUCUAUUUGCUUGUAAUUGCUUUGUUUAGAAUGUAUCCCUAUGUAUUUGAACUAUGUUCGACCUGAAUUCUUAAGAAUGAGAUACAUAGGCAGCCUAUGUCGACCUCGGUCAAUUUCUUUGUAAUUUUCCUACUUUUGUUAAUCCUCGAGAGGGGGAACUAUGUUUGACCUGAUACCUGCCUCAACGGAAUACGUAGGCGUCACAACGGCUCGGUCAUAUAUCUCGUAAGAUUUCUAUUUUUCUUUACGAUAGAAACUAGGACAUAAUUUUUUGAGAGGGACUCAAAAAUUCUCAAGAAAAAGAUCUCUCCAACAAAGUCGAGACUGAAGUUACUUUGAAAUUUGCAACUGGGACAUAAUUUUUAAGAGGAUCUAAAAAAUUCUGUGAUUUGAUCACCAACGGUUAAAGAUAAGCCAAGACAGUUGACUGUAACAGAAAUUUUGAGGAUGGCCUCAAAAUUUCAAUAGGGUUUAUUGGCAGUUUAGAGCAACUUUGAAUACUUCCCAACAAAUAAUCAAAUAGAUCUCGAGACAUCAACUCCCAAGGUGUUCAUUAAGUUUGACGUGACAUGACACUUGGCAGCAACCUUUUCCAAACAUUAUUUUUCAAAAUCUAUUUUCCUUAAAAACUUUUCCUUCAUGUUUCAAUUAUUUUUGCAUAAAAAUGUUUUGUGUCAUCUAUCAAGAAGCGGGAGAUCGGAGAAAUCAACCGGAGAUAGCAAGGCAAGGAGUAGACAACCGAAGAGAUCGACGCAGAUCAGUUCAUUUUCAAACUAACAAUUUUUCUGUGGAUGUAGGUCUAUAGGUUUGCCGCAAGAUUAUCAUAUUCCUCCAUUUAAUGAAUAUGGAGUAGUCAAAAAGGCGAGGAGCUCCCCAAAUUGACAAUUUUUCUGUAGAUUCAGGAACUGUUUUAUGUUUCUUAUAUCAAAGACUUGGGAAUAUAAAUAGCAUUAUUUCAUUCAAAUUCUCAACAAGGCGAGGUCUAUAAUGAACAUUCAAUUAUAUUUGGAGAUGAAGCAAAGGAAAACUCGAAGAAAGAAAUUUUAUUUAUUUUCCAACAACUAAAGAUACUUGGAGGACAUUAUCUGUAUCAUAUUAUCGGACAUGAUAAUAUUAUUGCUCGGAGAGUCAUUUAUGUCGUAUUGUCGAAUGAGAUGAUACCAUUACUCUGAUGGUCAUUUUUAUUUGUAUUGUCGAUUGAGACGAUACCGCCAUCCAAGAGUAUCUAGAAGAUCACCUAUGCUGCUUGGUAAAGCAUUAUCUUCGUUCGGUAUCAGGAAGACAUCAUCAAAAGAUUCAUGCAUUGCAAGAGAAAGAAGUCAUGCAUCGCAAAAAAGUCAUGUAUAGCAAGAGAAGGAAGUCAUGCAUAGCAAGAUCAAGAUUCAUGCAUAGCAAGAGAAUGAUUCAUGCAUCGCGGAAAGAAGUCAUGCAUUGCGGGAAAGAGAUUUAUACAUAGCAAGAGAAAGAAGUCAUGCAUCGCAAGAGGAAAAAAAGUCAUGCAUCGCGGGAAAGAGAUUCAUGCGUCGCGGAAAAGAGGUCAUGCAUCGCGGGAAAGAGAUUUAUGUAUAGCAAGAGAAAUAAGUCAUGUAUCGCAGGAGAAAAAAAAGUCAUGCAUCGCGGGAAAGAUAUUCAUGCAUAGCAAGAGAAGGAUUCAUGCGUCGCGGAAAAGAAUUCAUGCAUUGCGGGAAAGAGAUUUAUGCAUAGCAAGAAGAAGAAACCAUGCAUAACAAGAGAAAAAGUCAUGCAUCACGGGAAAAAGAUUCAUGCAUAGCAAGAGAAGGAUUCAUGCAUUACGGAAAAGAAGUCAUGCGUCAUGGAAAAGGGUCAUGUUUCGCAAGAGAAAGGAGUUAUGCAUCACAAGAGAAAGAUUUGCCCAUCACAGGAAGAUAAACAUCGACUGCAUCGUUUUGCUUUGCAACAACGACAUCAAGAGAACUAUCAACAUAUUACAUCAACCUAUUUUAUUACUUUGACGUCAAAAGAAGAGUACAACCCGAUAAAGUUGACGUCAAAUGUUCAAGGAGAGCAAUUAAGUGUCAACACGGUAAAAGACACUAUCUCUCCAUUUGAAUUACAUUUUUUUAUGCUAAUGACUUUUAUCUCAGUCUUUGUCGAGAGCAUCCGAGAGGAUGAAUUCUCAAAACAAACCACAGGUGCGGACGACAUAAAAAGGAUGCAACACAACAUGGAACUUUUUAUUAGCAGCGAACUGGGACAUAGUCCAAAGAGGAGUGCCAAACUAUUAGGACGCGAGCUGAGGAGCGACUUCCACCACAAUCAAACCAUACCCCUAUCAGAAGGCAUGUGGGUUUUUUUUUGUCUCCACCGGAGCCAUCUUUCCAAUCUGAGUGACAAUGCACCAAGAGCUUUAGAAAUUAUGUUCGUGUAAGUUCUUAAUUAUGGGUGCGAAGCGCGCCACAUUCAUGACUAAGAGGUUGCAAGCCUCUUUUUCAUAACUCGACUUACUUUGUCGCUUUUCCAGAACCAAAGGGUAUCUUGCAUAAUAGAUUUCCUUUCAACCGAUCGAGUCGAACUACAAGCAGCCUAAUUCCCUAAGUUGAGGGAUAUAUAGGCGGGCUCAAUGUCAAAAACUCGACUGUAUUCCAACAUCCUCUCUUAUAUCUUAUUUUAGGGCGUUCCGGUCUCUUCAUAAUUCGAUAUCGGGAUAGCUUUUGAAUUCCUUCUUAAUCGUGUGUCAAAUCAAACGUAUCGAACUACAAGUGACCUGAAUUCUCAUAUAGCCUGAGAUAUGUUGGAAACCCAUUUUUGGGGUUCGGCCAUAAUUCUUUAAGUCCACACCAGAAACCGUUGUUAGAAGAGAUGAAGAUGUGGUCGGCCAAAAUUGGUUUAGUCAAUUUUAUUUUCCUCAAAUUUCUUGCAUCAAUCCAAGUAAAAUGAGGGACAGUUAUUGACACCCAAAUUUGGACCUCCACAAUAUACAUUAAUCAUCGAGUUUCAUAAAUCCAAACGAUUUGAAAUAAUUGACUUUAUAAAGUUCAAAAUAUUUUUCAAGUUACUUUUAGUUAAUUUUACAAGUUUUAUAAUUUUUAAAUUAGCAUAUAUGUUUUAUAUAAUUUUGUAUAUAAUUAGUAUAUUUUAUAAAUAUUUCGAAAACCAUCUCAAAAAGAUUUUAAUUUUAGUAAAUAUUUUAUUGAAUUAGUUUUGUCUAAAUUAGUAGUUUAUAUUUUGACUCAUUAGUAUAUUAAGUUAAUUAUUCUAUGUCGUUAGAAGUAAAAAGCUCUUUAAUUAAUUCGUAUUGAUUCAUCUUAUUUAAGAUUUGGCCAAAGUUCUCCGAUCAAAAUUCAUUUGACCACUUUUUGUAGUUAUAAUUUCAACUACACAGAAAACUUUUUUCUUCCAAUUUUUGGACCCAAGUUGGCCCACUUUCAAGCACAUUUUAAUUCUCAGCCCGCUCCCUCAAUCCCCUUUAAUUUUCAGCAGCCCAAUUCCUCACACCCGACCAGACCCAUUUCCAAUUCUAAAGAGACCCAUAACAUCAUCAGCACAACAGUUCCAAACACUCACAGAAAGCACGUUAACUCUAGUAAAACGACAACAACAGAGGCAGCGAUACACGGUGUCUUCACAUCCUUACCAAAAUGACAAUCCAGCAGCGACUAAACGAUGCCCCAACGUUCAUCAACUCACGGCCUGAACACGGAACAACACAAGAAAGAGCAGAACAUGAAACAAUACUCUGCUCCUCCUUGUCUCCUUCCUCAAUGUCUCUCUCCAAUUAAUGUUGCAGCAACACAUGUUUCUUCCUUUUACCUCUUUGGGAAUUGGGCGAAAUUUUGGAAAAAGGUUGUUUCUCCGGAAUUGUGAAUGAAAUUUUGAGUUUGAAUUCGAAAUGAGCCCUUGAAUCUGAGUUUUUGGAUCCCUUUCCCCUCAUUUUUUCCGAUCCUAAUUUUCCUUCUAUAUAAUUGCUUUUAUUCACUGUUGAAGGGGGAGAGAUUUUUUAGUUGAAAAUUCUUUAUUAAGGCAGAGAAAAAAGUUGAAAAGUUUUGGGAAAAAUCGGUGAGAGUUUACAGAGGAGACGAUUCCAAAGCUACAAAAUUAUAUAAGAAAUACUCCUCACAUUCCUUUUCUUUUCAGUGUGCGCUGGUUACUGGAGUUAUCGAAGAAUUCUUGAGGUCUUUGUGUAGUGGUGGAAGCUCCUCGUGGUUAUCUCAUUCUCGUCUCAGUUCACUGCCCCCGAAAAGGUAAACUUCUAUUCAAUUCCAACUCUUCAGUUGUCGUUCUAUUUUUUUUUCUGAGUUGAAAUGGUUUGUUGGUUUAUUUUCUUCAUCUCUUGAAUGUCUUUGUUCUCCUCAGUUCACUGCUCGUGUAUAGUAGCCGAGUGAUUGGGUCUGAGUUGGUGUUCUUAGUCAUCUCCAUGAGUUAGUCGUAAUACUGAUUUGAAGCUCUGUUGAUUGAUAUUUAGCGUUGAUGUUUCCCUCCUUCUUGUUUGAGUUUAUUUCAUUAUUCCCCUUCUCCAAUCCAUUACUUGAAGGUUGUUGAGCUUUUGCUUCUAUCUCUGCCUAUUUAAGGUUCGUCUGAACAUGAUUUGAGCUAUGUUUUUUUUCCGUUAGUAUUGUCUGAUGUAUAUGGAAGUUGUAUGUGCUUUCUCUGGGUAUUUUAAACAUAAAUCCCUUUUUCCCUCUAAGUAAUGGCAGCCACCUUAAUUUUCAAUAGUUGAGGUUGUUCACAUGAAAUUUAUUGGACUUACUUGUCCUCUAUUAACUUGCUUAUUACUUUUAUUGUGAGCAUGAAAAGCCUUUUUCUUUUAAGCUUUGAUUUAGCUUCUUGAAAUUGAUUUUAAUCGCUUAGUCGUUCCAUGUUUUGGUAUAUUAGUUGUUGUCUAUGACACUUUUCUGAUUUCCUCAAGGUGUAAACUCUUUUAGAUUUUCAACCUCUUUAAAGUUCUUUUGUGGGAGAGGUUGAGUUCAUGUAAUUGUGUCAAGAAUGUCAUUUCUUUUCUGUCUUAUUUCGCUGCCAAAAAUGGUUAGAAAAGCUCCUAAAAUAUCAUGUUCACUAUCCUGAUAUGUCUUCAUAACUGCCAGCCAGCCCCUUUUCAGAUGCCCCCUCUAUUUUGUUGUCAUUAUUUAAUGUCAUUGUGGCUGAUGGUAUUGGGGUAUAACUAACAAAUUUGUCGGUAUACAAUUUGAUGUUUUCUCAUACUUUGAGUGGAGCUUUCCUCCUCUUAGUUUAGCAUCUUGAAUAAGCUCUUCUUGAAUUAAUCAUGCAUUUUGUGUAAAAAUUGAAGAACUAGGGGUAUUUCCUUUAUUUGUGCAUAAUUUGUUGACAAUUUAUUCCCUUUGGGUUUGAAUUAUAACAGUGUUAAGGUAAUUUCUUGUGACAAAUAUGUUUAUAUUCAUUAAGAGAAAGAAUGUUUGCCUAAUCUAUUUUUAAUCUAUCUUUAUCUUUGUAAUGUUGCACUUAUAUUAUUUUUAAAAGAGAUUUUUGGAAUAUAUGGUUAAAUUGGGUCAUAUUUCACCUAAGAUCACCAUACUUCAUUAGCUUAAAAUGCAUAUUUUGGACUAUAAUUUUUGAGUGUUAAAUGUGUGAAUUUUAGAUGCUAUUUAACCGGGGAUAAAAUGUGUUAUUUUCUUUUGUUUAAGUCACUUAAGAAUUGUGAUUUAGAGUAGCUUUUCCAUGGUUACUUACUGAUUUUCCUUUCUUUCCUAUUUUAUUGUAUGUGACAUCUGUUCAAGUCCUCACGGACUCUAUCUCUGCAUUUCCAAAGGGGUCAUGAAGGCCCCAAAAUUCUUUAUUCGAGUCAACCAGCCAUCAGGAGUGAAGAAUAAUUCCCUUGAAAUCUAAGAACAGGUGCUUAAAAAAUUGACGAACAGUGUUUGGAGCUGAUACAAGAUUGUAUACACUAGUAUACACCUAGUGUAUACGGAAAAAAAUUAGAAGGUGGGCUUAAAGAGGCCCACUCUUCUUUAAGAAGUUGUAUUUUGUUAUGUUUGGGCCUAAGCCCUCUUAUUUCCAUUAUUAUUAUGUGUUGUUUAUUAGGACAGGUACCAAAGCAAGAAGUGGGCCUAAAACCCAACGGGAAAAUUAGCCUAUCUUAGGACAAGUGCAAAUGGGCCAAAGGUCCAAAACUGAAAUCAAGUCCAAGUACUGGCCCAGGCGGACAGGGAAACUAGACUUGGGUCCAAGUGUCUCUCUUUAUUUAUUAUGUUUGUUUAUUUGUUAUCGAUUUUAAGGUUUCGAACAUUCAAACCCCCGGAAGACACCCAUUUUGAAUUAAUCAUUUAACUAAAUUAUCCGUCUCUUACUUGACUUAAAAUGUAAAUAAAUAAAUAAAUAAGUUUACAAAAUACUUCACUUAAAUAAUAUUGUAAUAUUUUUCUAAUUCUCCCUUAAAAUGGUCCCAACUAUAAAAUAGUUCAGUUUUGCAAUUCAAUCUAAGUUAAAAUUAUUUUCGCCAAAUAAUUAAUUGCCGGAUAACCGCGUAUUAGCGGACAUUUCGGGUGCUUUCAAAUCCUUCCUGAAAUGCUAAUAAGAACCCCGAACCCCUUUUAAAGUUUUCAUUAGAUUUCUGUUUUAGUUUUUUGAAAACAACAGUUUUCUUGAUUUUACUUAAAAAUUAAGUGGCGACUCUAAACCAGUCUAAUUAUAUGUUUUAAAUAAAAUAAUAGGUGUUCAAUAGGAACAUGCCUCAAUUGAGGUGUUUUAGUGAGUUAUGGGGACAACUUUAAGUGAUUGUAGAUCACUUUAAGCCUUGAAAGUUACGUCAUUUCUAUCAUACUUCCAAGUAACCAUAUUCUAUUGGUGAGAAAAUUGUCUUGUAUUUCUUCUCAACUAUGUAUCAUAUACUUUGAAAAAUGGUUCAUAUUUGUUCAUGUAUUUGUGAUUACUGAUUACUCCUAGUUCACAAAAACUUAGGGAUAAAGCAUAAGUAUUUCUCUAGACUAUGGCCAAAAUUCAGAGACACAUUAACUAAACUAAGGUCCUAUAACCACCCCCCCCCCCCAAACUCAUUUUUUAAAAUAAUUUUAUACACCUUCACUUAUGUGGUACACUCUGUGACUCCAGGUAAUUGAGACGCAUGGAGAUGUUUGGAUACCAUGUAGGCCAAAAAGGUGUAGAAAAUUACAAAAAAAAAA